GCAACUCUGCAUUUUGUCUCAAAAGAACGCAUGCCAGUUAUUUCAAAUAAAGAACAAUGCAACUGUUAAAAUUUGACUGUAAAAUGUAAAUUCAUCCAACCAUAUCACACCCAGAGCAGCACAUGAGACGCUAACCAUGAUUUCACUAGACAAGCACAUCAAGGCUCAUACGAUUUCUAAUUGACAGGAAUUUAAAGUAAUACAUGCCCCUGGAGCGUCCUCGCUACAUUCAGGCUAACGGUGCGUCAUGUCUCUCUCAACUCCAGCACUGAGAUGGUUCCUUCAGGGGGCUACCUAAACAGCACAUCUAAGGACGGGUGCUAGCAAGCGAUGGCGGCACUCGGUUACAGACUCAGUCGACGAACGCUGACUUGUAGUGGGGCACCCGGUUACAGGCUUAGUCGACGAACGCUGACUUGUAGUGGAAAUCGUCGAUGGUCGAGUAGAUGUGCCCGACAUCGACGUGGUAGUCGAUAGCCUCCCUGCAUAUCAGAGGUUAAGCUUUAUUAGCCAGCAGCAAUACAUCAUCGUGUGUCUGGAUUCAAGAGAGAUAGAGAGAUGGGCUUACUUGAUCUUGAGUGCUGGUAGUCUGAACCGCUUGGCAAUGUCAUCCACAUGAACGCCAUGGUCACUCUCGCUGUAAAAUUAACCAGGGUGUUUAGAAAGGAAGAAAAAUAAAUCAUCAGUGAUGUAAAAAUGAAACAAUAUGCAGAGUUAGGACAGGCAAUGGACCAGGCUUUGGUGGCAUAGAUGCCAAGCAGAAAGACAAGCAUCCUACAAGGCAAGGAAAGGAUGGAAUGGUGGAUGCACAACUCACAUGUUUGCUGGUUCACGGAAGACAUUCAGCACCUGCGUGUAGAAAUCAGUCGCUGAUCCGUUUGUUCCACUGGUCACUGGUGCCUGCAGGAAUGAUUGAAAUAAAUGAUAACUGACACCAGGAGAGUUGUAUUGUUUCAUCCAUUCAAGCAUUGCAAUCACAGCUUACCAGGUUGGAUUUCACAGAGGGUGGAGUGGCCGCUUCGCUCAAUCUGUUGGAGAAUGGAGUUCCCACAGAAGAAUUGGUGUGCGCAGGACUGCCAACCUACAAUUAACCAUGAUUAUAACAACCAUUUAAACCAGGUAUUCUUCUAACAGAGGACAAACACAUAGUUCUCAUGGGAGUAUCCGCAUCGAACAUUGGUACUACAAUGAUCAGGAGCAUACCUUUGAUUUUGUGUUCUCUAUGUGCAUCCGUACACACUGAAUGAAAUGCAGCGUGACCUCGUUGUAAUCAGUUAUAGGCCUGAGAUGGAAAAGUUAUAUCCAGUUAGCAAGCUUCAAUACAUCAGAUCAGUGGAACAAGACCAUAAUAUUUUUGCAAAUAAAUACCUGACUGCAAAAGCCGUAGCACGCUUCUUGUCCUGAACUCCCUUGAGGCUACCGAUGACAGCAACGUACAUACCAUUCCUUUAUUAACAAAAGAAGUAUUAGAAAAGGGUGGUGAUCCUUCAGAGAGGAAGGCAGUAAUUUUCCUCAACAAAUAGUGGUUGUGUAUGCAGGACAAGCAAAAAAUGAAGGUUACAAGUAAUACGUACUGAAUAGCAGCAGUUUCAGCAGAAUCUGCAGAAUCAUUCACCCUGUAAAACAUAUCAAAAUUGACAAAGAUGUUAAACUGAUACCUAUUGCAGACAGCAGAUGCUAUCAAGUAUGAUCAGCCUCGAAGCUCUUUUCUAAAUCCUAAAAUAGUAUUACAAAUCGUGAGCUUGUAAAAGUACUAAAAGUUGCUGAUGGCAUAAACUAUACUUAACCACAAAGGCCUUCGCAAAACAGGCCAAUGUUAGGCUGCUACCAUAAUGAGCCUAAUGACAGCAUGUCAGAUAUUUUAUACUAUUCCCAACAGCCACAUUUUCUUUGCUAAUAUAUCAUUAACUAGCAAAAGAAAUGUAUACUAAUAUAUUAAUCUUAGCCAAAGGUAAGGACUGAAAAUGUAAGCAUUUUACAGUGAUCUAUCUACCAUAUGUUAAAUGAGUGAUUAGUCAGGGAUGGUAAGAUAUUUGCAUAUUUCCAUUAUUGGACUGCUUGCACACUGAUAAGAGCAACUAUAUUCCUAGUGAAAACUGAACCUACGGUUUGACAAAUCAAACAACAGCCAGCAAUGACAACUGAAGCACAUGAGAUCUUUUAUAUUCUCAAAGGCAGCAGAAACUAUAAUAAUAUCCAUUAGUACAUGAAUCUCAAUAGUACAAAUAUAUUAUGCUUAGCCAGGGGUAAGAAUUGAAGNNNNNNNNNNNNNNNNNNNNNNNNNNNNNNNNNNNNNNNNNNNNNNNNNNNNNNNNNNNNNNNNNNNNNNNNNNNNNNNNNNNNNNNNNNNNNNNNNNNNNNNNNNNNNNNNNNNNNNNNNNNNNNNNNNNNNNNNNNNNNNNNNNNNNNNNNNNNNNNNNNNNNNNNNNNNNNNNNNNNNNNNNNNNNNNNNNNNNNNNNNNNAUUUGUCAGAGAUGGUAAAGUAAUUGCAGAUCCCCACUAUUGAAUUGCUUGCAUUGUGAUGAAAGCCAAAGUAUUUUAGUGAUGUAUAUUGGUAGAUUAUGCUUGUCAGGUGCUACAGACUGCAAAUUUUAAGCGUUUACAGUAAUUUAUCCCCCUGCGAUCCCUCAAAUAACCAGAGAUACCAAAUAAGUUUACUAAUUUAGCAUGUUAAGCCAGCUGCGCUGACAAAAAAUCAAGUGUUUCAGAGUAACAUAUCACCAAAACACAGUAGUUAGUUAGUCAAAUAUGGUGUCUAUGAACUUGCAAAGUUGCAAUAGUCAACAUUAUACUGACUCGAAAAUAAAUCAAGCAUUUCACAGUAAUAUAUUCCACUAAUGUCCCUCCCUCAAAUGGUUAAUUAGUGAGAGAUGGUAAAGCAAUUGCACUUUUCCCACAAGCAAUGGCCACAGGAGCACAAAGGUCUAAACCUGUGUCCUAAACCACAUCUGGAACUCAAUUACUGAAUUAAUCUUGCCCCGUCGUACCAACAGCCAACAGUAUUUCUAUCUAUUGAAGAUUGAAGUUGCAGCAUUAGACAAAUCCCACAGCCAACAUCCAGCAAUGGAAUCCAAACAAAAAAUGCAUCUGGAACCCGAAUACAAGUUGGGGAUUUGCCGAGAUGCGCUCACCAUCUGAUGAAGUCGAUGCGGCCGGUGCCGUCGUCGAGGGUGAAGGACACGUCCGUGUUCCGCCCCGCCUUGCCGCUCACCAUCCCCACGAGCCUGACCUGCAGAUCCCCCAAGCCAAGCCACGUCAGUCCCGACGAACAAACGGCCGAGGAGAAGCGCAAGGCGGGUGGGUCCUCACGUUGGCCGUCUCAACGCCGUCGACGACGAAUGGCGCGCCCUUCUCGCCGGUGCCGGCCAGCUGCGCGUCCGCGAUCUGCUUCACGGUCAGCGGCAUCGUGCCCGACGCGCCCCGGAACUGCGACGCACAACCGAGAGAUCUACAUCAGGACACCGGGAAGGAUCCAUCUCGCAAGAAAGCGGGGAGGGAGGACCGACCUUGUUGGGGGUGGAGUCGGCGGCGGCGUUCUGCGACGCGGUGAACUGCGACGGCGAGAAGGCGUCGACCUGGCUGGAGAACAUCAUGGCUGCUGGCCCUCUCUCCGGUUUCCUUCCCCUGCUCCGCUCUGCUCUCGGCUUGGCCGGACGGAUGGAUCUCUUCUGGCGGCGGCGGCGGCGGCGGCGGUGGCUGGUGGCGUCUGGCGGGGAGGGGAUCGGAGGAGGCCGGGAAUAAGAGGGGGCGAGCGCGGGAGAUUCGGGGGGAAAUGCGCGGGAAAUCCACCUCGCUUCCCGCCAGUUCUCGGUCCGGCGGGCUUUGGCCUUCAUUGUUGGCUGACAGGUGGGUCCCCACUGCACAUGAGUCAGCUGCCAGCAGCCAAACCUCAAAAAAAAAAAACUGCCAGCAGCCGGUGAGUUAAAAAAUGUUUACUAUGUAAGGGUCAAAAGGAGUUAUAACCAAAUAUUCCAUCCUUCCCAAAUAUAAAGCGUAUGAGGAUCUCUUUUUUUUCUAAAGGAUGGAAGCCAUAUAUUUGGGGCGUCGAAAUCUUCUUCUUCCUGCACCCACCGGCGACGUGCCGUGGGCAAACCUCUCAUACCAUAGCAGUACCACUGUAUUGUUUGUUUGGUAUUGGAGUUACAAAUAUAUUUUCUAUACAUUUUGUCAGGUUUAAAAAAAAUUGAUCCUACGAUAAAAUAUGUACGCCUUCUGUAUUGGAAACAUUCAAGCAAGACUUUCAGGUUAGAAAAUAUGUUUAUUAUGUUAUGUUAAAAAGAGUCUUUUGCAUGUAUAUAGAAUAAUAAUGCUAAAAGGUACACCGUGUUACAAAAUAGAAAAUUCUACUAUCUUGGGAUGAUUUUGUGCUUUGAGGAACAAUAUAAGAAGACAUAUUUUUGUUCUUGCAAAAAAAAGAACAAAAUGUAGUAGUAAUGGCAAUAUUAAACCAGACAAGUAGUCUUCAAUUGUUUAUGUUGGAAUUAUUAUUUUUGAUCAUUUUAAGGGGGUGCAAACGAUCUGAGUGAGUUUUUCUUAUACAGAAUAUAUGUGUAUUUCCUCUCAAAACAUAAACGAAAUUUAUUGUAAUUACAGAAAUAUAAAAUCAGCCUACACAACAUUCGAGCCCAGCGACAGAUGUUCUUCAUGGAAAGCCCAAUUAGUGAUUAUUCCAAAAGUGGUGGACCAGUGUCCACCUCCCAGCCCAGUUAAAGUGGAGAAGCCCAUAGAGCGUCUGAACAAAAAUGCUAUCGGAUUUCUGCGGGAAACCGGUAACAGAAAUUCUCUGCGAAAAUAGGAUUAUCGCCAGGAUAAAAUGGAGGUGAAAAAUAGGAUUUGGAGAUGGGAGGUAUCGAUCCCCCUGCCUUUUAUAAGCCGUAUAAAUGCUCUACCAUUUGAGCUACAUCCCCAUUGAUGUCUAUUAUACUAAUCCAAGCUAAUAUUAAUAUCAAUUAAUUACUUUUGACUAAAAAUAAUCAAUCCCCAGUUAGAAUUUUUCUUUCCAAUAUUUGCAUUUCGUUUCUUUGUGUGAAAACCGUGGCUCUAAUGCACGGGACGGCUGGUUGUGACAGCCUCCCCUUUUUCUAAAUAAAUCGCUAUAACUAGAAAAAAAAAUUGAGGCAAGUGCUAAAAAACGCCACUGAAACACUAAAUAGAGGAUUAGACUGUUUUGGGACAACUUGUGAUUUGAGAUUAUAUUUUCUAUUCUCUAGAAAAAAGACAAUAUUUUACCUGGUAUUGGCAAUCUAGACUAGGACCUGGAGACAAUAUUAAGGGACUGUUUGAAUAUGACGAUUUUAUUAAGUCGGUUUUGCCUAUGUGUUUAUUGUUGUAACUAACAAAAAAUGUAUUUGAUUAGCAUAGAAAAUAAAGAUAACUUAAAUUGUAAAGCUCGGAAACCGAGCUUGUGGAAAAAUAAUAAUUUAAGGUUUCUCAGUAAACCGGUUUGGUGCAUCUUUUACGUACGUGUUUACCAUUCCCAUCCAUGCGAUAUUAUAUGCAUAAUUAUCUUUAACGUAAUUAUUAAUAAAGUUGGUUUUACAAAAGGUUGUACCGAAUGUGUUUUGUUAAACUGGUCCCUUUGUUAAUUGUAGGUAUUAAGAUAGCUGACCGGCCUUGCCACCCGGUAGAGUGUGUUGGGAUUAAAAGUGAGUGAAGAAAAUAGAGAUGUCGGCCGUGCGUUGGUUUAAGACCAAAGUUCACAGAGGACGAAUGGGACUAAAAUGUGCACCCUUGCUUGGCCAUUGUUGUUUGCUGACAAAUGGGUCUCCAGUUCACAGUCAUGUUAGGACUAAUAAGUGAGAUUUNNNNNNNNNNNNNNNNNNNNNNNNNNNNNNNNNNNNNNNNNNNNNNNNNNNNNNNNNNNNNNNNNNNNNNNNNNNNNNNNNNNNNNNNNNNNNNNNNNNNNNNNNNNNNNNNNNNNNNNNNNNNNNNNNNNNNNNNNNNNNNNNNNNNNNNNNNNNNNNNNNNNNUGCGGGUGAAACGAGCAUUCAUUAAUUAAGUAAUGUUUGUACACUCGUUUUCACAAAUAGAACAUAAAUCAUCAGGCCCAGCUUGCAGCCAAACCAUCGUACGUUGGCUAGUACGUCCUCUUUGAGCCAUGCAAUGCGCGGCCAUGUUGGCCGUGCGUCGGACGUGCUCAAAAACAUGACGCCGUACUCCAUGCAAUAGCCUCUUCGUCUCCUCGAUAAACCCGGCCAACGAAGACCUGUUAACUCCGCUGUCCGUCAAAGCUACCACUCCUUCUUUACAGUCUAGUUCCACAAUGAUGGGUUUCUCUGUACGCUGCAGCGCCAGGGACGUGCCCUCGAGACACGCUGCUAUUUCCGCCUCCAUUGGUGUGUGGCAUGAUCGAAGAAACCGACACGACGAGAAGAUGAUGGCACCCGUGUCAUCCCUCAAGACCAUGCCCGCACCUCCAGUACACUCGCCAGGGAUAUGUGACCCAUCAACAUUCAGUUUCACCCAGNNNNNNNNNNNNNNNNNNNNNNNNNNNNNNNNNNNNNNNNNNNNNNNNNNNNNNNNNNNNNNNNNNNNNNNNNNNNNNNNNNNNNNNNNNNNNNNNNNNNNNNNNNNNNNNNNNNNNNNNNNNNNNNNNNNNNNNNNNNNNNNNNNNNNNNNNNNNNNNNNNNNNNNNNNNNNNNNNNNNNNNNNNNNNNNNNNNNNNNNNNNNNNNNNNNNNNNNNNNNNNNNNNNNNNNNNNNNNNNNNNNNNNNNNNNNNNNNNNNNNNNNNNCAAAGACCCGUACCUUAGGUGGAGCAGGGCACCUCCACAAUGCCGUCCAGACGGCACGAUUGCCGUCCGGUGCCCUGCUCGCCGUGCAUGAAGAUGCGCGCAGUUUUUCCUCCAGCCCCAUUUUAUAGGCUGAUUUGACGGAGAAAAUGCCUCUCGGAUCCGGCCCCCAGGCUAGGACAUCAUGCAUCCUCGGUGAGGGCCGCAACUUGAUAAUCUCGACGACGUCUGGCUGUAUAAAGUACUGCUGCAGCAACUCCCUUCUCCACAUGCCACGAUCGUCCAUCAGCUCAGCUACACGCCGAAGCCUGCACCUUCCGACAUGUGAUAUCGGCCGGUACGACACUGGCCGCUCCAGCCACGGAUCGCGCCAUAUACGAACAGAUUGUCCGUCACCGAUCCUCCAUAGGAGACCUUUUUUUAGGAGCUCCAGUCCAUACGUAAUGGCUUGCCACGUCGAUGAAGCAUUGCCUGCAAAAACAGUAUCCUCUAGUCGCCCAUUAGGAUAAUAUUUCGCUUUCAAGACCCGAGCACACAAGCUGUCCGGGUUGAUCAACAAACGCCAUGCCUGCCGAGCAAGGAGUGCUUGAUUGAAGAUUCUGUAAUCCCGAAACCCAAGGCCGCCCAUCGCUUUGGGUUUGAUGAUUUGAUCCCAAGCCAUCCAGUGAGUUUUUCGUUUCCCUUUCUCUGAGCCCCACCAGUAGUUCCGGACCAUCCGUGUAAGAUCAUCGCACACAGAGAAUGGAAGCUUGAAGACGCCCAUGAUAUACGUGGGGAUUGAUUGUGCCACCGCCUUGAUCAACACUUCUCUGCCAGCUUGAGCCAUAUAUCCAUCGCCCCAAAUACAUAUACGCUUCAUCAAUUUUACUUGCAAAUUUUGGAACCUCCCUUUAUGCAUGCGGCCUUCUGGAGUCGGGAGUCCUAAGUAUUUCUCCUCAAACUGAUCCUUCAUGAUUUGUAGUUGCUGUUUCACAUUUUCCUGUACAUUAGGGGGACACGACUGUCCAAACAGUAUUGAGCAUUUUGCCGGGUUGAUUAGCUGUCCCGUGGCACUCUCAUAAGCAUGAAUAAUGUCCUGCACCGCCCCUGCCUGCUGUUGGUUCGCCUUGAAGAAGAGAAGUGUGUCAUCCGCAAAUAGCAAGUGCGAGACCCCCGGGGCUCCACGACAUAUUUUCAGCGGCUCUAUAGCAUUUGUUCUCACUCCCUGUUUGAGCAACUCAGAUAACCCAUCAGCCACAAAUAGGAAUAGAAAUGGCGAUAAGGGAUCACCUUGCCGGAGGCCUCGCUCCGGUGCGAACGAUUCAAGAAGAGUUCCAUUAAAUUUUACAGUAUACCUCACCGUGGUAACACACGUCAUGAUCCAUUGCACCCACCGAUGAGCAAAACCCAACCUGACCAUCACUCGCUCCAAGAAUCCCCAGUCAACCCUAUCAUAUGCCUUAGAUAGGUCCAACUUGUAUGCACAAAAGCUAGCAUCCGGUUUCUUCUCCUGAUGUAUUGCAUGAACACAUUCAAACGCCAACAGUGCGUUGUCCGUAAUCAGCCGGCCAGGUACAAAUGCACUCUGAAAUGGUGAAAUGAUCUCAUCCAGAAUAGGGCGAAGGCGAUUGACCAAGCACUUGGCCACUAUCUUAUAUAUUACGUUACAGAGACUUAUAGGCCGAAAAUCCGUUACCCGCUUAGGCUCAUCAGUUUUUGGGAUGAGAACAAUGAUGGCCUCAUUGACACCCUCGGGCAUAAUUCCAGUUUGGAAAAACUUCCUUACCGCGCUGACAAUCUCGUCCUUGAAGAUACUCCAAUUUCGUUGAAAAAAACGUGCCGGCAGUCCAUCACUUCCCGGAGCUUUUAAGGGGCCGAUCUGAAAGAGCCCAUCAGCUAUCUCCUUCUCCGAAAAUUCAGCACACAGAUUUACAUUCAUCGCAUCAGUGACCACAGGCUCGAAGAGGUUCACCACCGGAGUUGGGUUCAAAGACGUAUCCUUGGCAAAGAUGUUCUGAAAAUAUUCUUGCACUAGGCCACCCAUCGCCUUGUGAUCUGCAUGUUCAACACCAUUGUUAUCAAUUAAACUUCUCACCUUAUUCUUACGAGCACGCCAAACCGCUUUCCUGUGAAAGAAUUCUGUAUUCCGGUCGCCCUCUUUUAGCCAGUCGAUGCGCGACCGUUGCAGCCACAACAUUUCCUCCUGGUACAACAAUUCAUUCAUAUGGUCAGAGACCUUUUUUAUUUCAUCUCUGUCCGCAUUCAUAUUGAGCAGCUCUUCUAAUUUAGUUCUGGACUUCUCAAGCUCUCUAGUGACGUUACCAAACCUUUUCUUUCCCCACGCAUACAGAUUAAGUAACAAACUCUUAAGCCCCUCCCGAACAUCACCAAGGUUAAACUUGGCACCGGCCUCCUCCCAGGCAUUGGCAAUUCUUUCCUGUAGACUUGCAUCUCUUUCCCAGAAAAUUUCAUACCUUCUAAAACUCGGCCUGUAUACCUUUUCUUCAUCGGCAACACACUUUAGUAAAAUAGGAAGAUGGUCAGAACAAGGUGAUACCUGAUGGACCACCUUGGCAGCACUGAAUAAAUUACGCCAGUUGUUGUCCGCCACCGCUCGAUCCAACCGCACUUUAACGUUUCUGUUUCGACGCUGUUUAUUAUCAUAUGUGAAUGGGAGGCCUUGGAACCCCAAGUCCACCAGAUUACAAGUUUCCAGUACAUCCCUGAAGGCUUGCAUCUGAGGUUCACUUCUUGGGGUGGCUGACAUAUGUUCAAAGGACCAGAGAGCUUCAUUAAAAUCCCCUAUGACACACCAAGGAAGAUCAGACUGCACUUUCAGAUUUUGCAUUGUUGCCCACAUACGAUGACGGUUUUCCGUUCGUGGUUCGCCAUAAACACAAGUUAAACGCCACAUCGGAGCACUGGGGGACACACGCACAUACGCAUCAAUAUAUCUUUCAUUCGAAUCUUUAACAUCCACGUACAUCUGAUCACACCAAAACAAAGCAAGACCCCCACUAAGCCCAACACUGUCGACACCAGCAAAACCUCUAAGACCCAAUCUAGCACGAAGACGACGGACUUUUUCUGCACUUUGUCUAGUCUCACACAGGAACACAAUCUUUGAUUCAGUAGCCCUAACCAAAGCCACCAAAUCCCGAACUGUCGGUUUGUUCCCAACACCCCGACAGUUCCAACUUAAACAAUUCAUUGCUCCUGACGGGGCGCCACAAAUGGCCCCGUCAGUUUACCAGCGGCCCCUGGGCUGGUUGCCUCCAUAUCCACCUCUCCCUUCGCCCCCAUGUCCAGUUCAAUAGCCUCCUCUGUCCUCUUGACUUUGCCUUUUUUAGAUUUUCCACCCUCCUCUUCCCUGUCUUGAUCCACCACAUGUGUAUCCCCCUGGUGCUCCUCCUCAUGAUAAUAGAAAAGUGAGAUUUAAUAAGUGAGAUUUAAUAAGGUAUUUUUUAUCAGUAAUAAUAGAAAAGUCAUUUAUUGCAAAGUCCAAAAGAAGGAAAUAGAGUAACUGUGAUCUACAUCGAGCAGACCCUAACCAAACUUAGAUGAUGCAAAUGUGCAUCAUCCAUACGUGGACACAACCACCCUACUGAAAACCGUGCACACCCCAAGACGUAUGUGCCAAGAGGGAAUGUUCGUGUGGCCCAACGAGGAUGUCGGUUCCUCUAAGUGAGGGUGUAUGUGAUAGUCUGGCUCAAUAGGGACGAUAGACUAUUCAUAUCUAUAAGGAAUUCCUUUUUUUCUGGGAGCCCAUUUGGAAAGAACUCCAAAGUUUAGCAUGCUCAGCGUGAAGUAAUUUCAGGAUGGAUGACUGACCGGGAAGUUGCUCCUGGGUGCGCAUGAGUGAGGACAAACUGCGCAGAAAAGACUAGUAUUGAUCUGUGAGGACAGUCGACGGAUGUAUCCGAAUUGUUACAAGUUGGUAUCUGCCAAAGAGUUGUAUGCGUAGCCAAGAACAUUUGCCGACAUAUGUGUGACACAAGUCACAGAGCACCGGCAAGAGAGGAUUGUACCGCUAAAAUCUCACAUUGGAGACGCUCUGGCGAUACCACAAUUCCAUCACUAAGUGUACAUCGAUGGUAAUUCUAGUCAUGGCCAUCGGCCCCGGACAAUACACCGCUAGCUAGUCUUCACUACAACUCCAUGGCCGCGAUUUGCCGCCACAAACUCAUCCGGACCCUGGGCCGCUGACCAGCAUCGUCGGCACUGCCGCAACGUACCACUCUACAAUGUCACACCACCAUGAUCAAUCUCGGCCGUUACCUGCUGCCAUGCACCGCCUCCAUGCCUAAGCCACCCAAGAUGGAGCAAGGCAAGAGAAAAGCCAGAAGCCAUGAGGCCACGCAGGACAGGUAAGUCCUCAUCCCAACCCCACCUCGGUCCCACUCCUUUCCCCUCAAGGCCACAUCUAGGUAAGAGGAGUGGGGGCCCACCAUUUCAUUUUUAUUUUUCUUAUGUUUUGUGUCCUUAGUGGCGUCAAUGAGGUGACAGCUGUGAUGGCGUGUUGGAAUAAGGUCUUUAUGACUUCUACAUACCUCGGCAACGUGCAAUCUGAUAUAGACGAAGGGCUUGUGAGAGUUUUGACAUCAUAUUUGUUGGCUCUCUUUAGAUCUUGACAGUUGGUGUGUCUAUCAAGGAGAGCAAUAGAUUGGCUAUCAGUGCGGCGACUUGGACAUCUUCUUUUGUGUUGUUCUGCGGUAUGGUUUGGUUUCUCCAACUCUCUAAAGCAGUGGUGAUGGAUUACAAGCUUGUACCACGUGGGAUAAUGCUCUAACCGGUGUUUCUUCAAUGAUUUCUAGAUAUCGUCUUAAGCCACGAGUGGCUAUUGUGGUCUAGUAUAAAGCAUGAUAUGGUGAUGGCAUUCACAUGUAUCUUUUUCUUUACCGUUGGUUUAGUGUAAUUUUUAAUCUCCGACGGGCGGCAUACAAUCGAAGAAAGAAGAGGACGACUAGUAUGAAUUUUAAUGCAAUUUUAGUUUUCAGUUGUCCUUUCAUUGUACUAGCUAUUGUUUUUUCUUGAUAACUAUCACAUCUAAGAUGCCUUUUGGUGUCUUCAAAAAAGAAAGAUGGAGGUAGCUAGGGCAAAUCUUUAUCACAUAGGAGUAUUACAUAAUUAGCGAGUGAUGUGGCAUAACAAUAACAAAAUAAAAAUAAAAAUUUAGAAGUCAACUAGUACAAAGGAAUGCUAGCCAGUACAUGAUUUUAUACGAAUCCCAGUUUUACAUGUGUUGCCCCAACAUACAAGCAAGUUCAUAUUUGUUCGCUCUUGACGAACCAAACAUCUACAGUUCAGAUUCAACGAGUAUCCAAAAAAUUAUAGAAUUAUCUCAUACGUCGUCGCAUUGAAUUAGCCCGUACCAUAACGACACGCCUAGCCUAUAUAGUACACUAAUUUUUGGGUCACAUUCCCAUCAGUGUGGUGUCCUCUCCCCAUCACCACGUCAGUUUGACUUUGUUGUAUUUUAUGUUGGCAAGGCCACCCCAAACAAGCAAGAGCACGAACACACGCAUCCUAUCCUAGCUAUAUAAUGCUAACCAUUGGUGCAAUCUUUCUCUCACGAUCGACGAGCCAACACAACCCGAUCGAUGCCUCCAUCGAAUGCUCACAAGAAGAUGACCAUGAGCUGCCUCGUCGUGCUGGCACUGGCACUCGCGGCCACCGUGGGCGCGCAGGAGUGCAGGCGGAGCGGCACGCUCCGGCCGAGCGAGGGCCACUCGUGCGAGGACUGCUGCGAGGCAGGGAAGGCGUACCCGACGUACCGGUGCUCGCCGCCGGUCGUCGCGGGCGCCACCAGGGCCAUCAUGACGCUCAACGACUUCGACGAGGGCGGCGACGGCGGGGACCCGUCGGCGUGCGACGAGGUCUUCCACCGCAACUCGGAGCGCGUGGUGGCGCUGUCCACGGGGUGGUACGCCGGGGGCUCCCGCUGCGGCGACCGCAUCCGGAUCCGAGCCAACGGCAGGUCCGUGCUGGUCAAGGUCGUCGACGAGUGCGACUCCAUGAACGGGUGCGAUGACGAGCACGCCUUCCAGCCGCCGUGCCGCAACAACGUCGUCGACGCGUCCCAGGCGGUGUGGGACGCGCUCGGCAUCACCGGCGAGGAGGUCGGCGAGUACGGCAUCACAUGGUCAGAUGCAUGACGCCUGUGGUGCCUUAAUGUAGCUAGUGUUCUCUUGCUUAUUUGAAGAACCUUUUGUGUAUGCGUGGUGGUGCCUUUGAUGUAGUGUAUUUUUUUAACACACCUUUGAUGUAGUGUUAAAAUGUUGUAUCCUCGAUGAAUAAGUAAACUGCUCUUUUUUCGUAACAGCAAAAGACUACGCUUUGCUAAUUACCAAUCACCUCUUUUGUUACGUUCGCUAAAAUUGCAAACGGAGUAGUAUUGCAAGACCAUCACACACCAAGGGCCUUACUGGAACCGCCAAAAAAAAUUCCCUAGUGCCCGGAGUUUUACCGAGUGCUUUUUAUCAGGAAGUUAGCAAACAAAAAGAAUGCGAGUGUCAGCCAUAAAAACUUGGCAAAAACGUAGAACUUGGCAAUGGCGAGGUUUUCCGGAGCGCACGGAAAAACAAAAAUCAGCCUCCACAACAUUCGAGCCCAGUGACAGAUGUUCUUUCAGGGAAAGCCCAGUUACAGAUUAUUCCACCACCUCCCAGCCCAGUUAAAGAUCCAGGGAGAAGCCCAUAGAGCGUCCGAACAAUGUGCUAUCGGCUUUUGGGAGGUCUCAUUUUCUGCGGGAAACCGCUAACAGAAAAAAAAACUGCGGGGAAAAUAAUAUCUCGCCAAAAUAAAAGGAGGUGAAAAAUAUGAGUUGGAGAUGGGAGGUAUCGAUCCCCCUGCCUUUUAUUAGCUUCAUAAAUGCUCUACCAUUUGAGCUACAUCCCCAUUGAUAUCUAUUACACUAAUCCAAGCUAAUAUUAAUAUAAAUUAUUUAUUUUGGCACUUGCCAAGCUUACCUCGCAACCUCAGUUUUUUUUUUGAGAACCCGCCCUUAAGGCUCUUUAUUCAUUUGUAGGCGUAAUCAAAUCAGAUUGUACAUCGUCAAUCUGAAAUACAAACUCAAACAAACACGCUUCCUUAAUAAGCGCCUCUCUGGCACUUGUACCCAUGAAAUACAAACGCCAUUUGCUUCUCUACUCACAUAUUGCAACUUAAACCCAUGAAAAAAGAUGGAGAUAGGCUUUCAUCUCCCUCAGCACCUGGUCACCCACCUAUCAAGCAUCUUCAUACAUCCAUUAGUUACAAACGGUCUGACAAUAUGUCUCUACCACCACAUGUGUGAGACCCUUUUCGGUUGCUAGGGCCAUGGCAUCCCUGCAGGCCAGCGUCUCAAUCACCAAUGGAACCGUGAUUGAAUCAUACUUCAUAAUCCUUCCAUAGAUAACGUUUCGUUGAUCGUCCUGAGCUACCACUCCAGUCCCAGCUAGACCCUGGUUCACCGAGAUAGUGCCAUCAUAACUUUUCAUUUCCCCUAGCGUUGUCUGUCAUUGUGGUUGCCUAUACAAACCUCAUUUCAUUUUCCAACUCAUUCACUGUGUUGGCAUAGUCAUUGCUUUCUGAAAAAGCCGACUUCCAAUUUGCAUCCAUCCGAAACAUGCAUAAUUAAGCCUCACUAAAAAUGCAUUGGUAGCAUUGCAAAAAAUGCUUAAAGAUUGUAUUUUAUUUGCAAACCGAGCAUCAAGGAACAUGGAUGUCCAGUCAGUGUAUUGGUUGGCCGGUCCAUCCACCAUUGCCCUUUGUUACAUCUACUACUUUCAGUGAGAAAACUUUGGUAUCCAUGCUAGGGCUCCCCCUUGUGUCGCAUUGGUAGGACACAAAGUGAGUCGGUCCUCCAUUGUUCCUCUGAGUUUGUGCUUAAUUAGCAUGAGAUAAUGAAAGAAAAUAAAUAAAUUCAUGUCAUUAUGCUUGAAUACCCAUAUUCGGUGUCUACGCAUGUGUGCACUACAUCUUGAAGGCGUUUGCUGUAUAACAAUGGUGACUUUGUCAUGGGUGUUUAUUAGUCAAUUCUUGUGAUGGGUUGACCUUUGUUGGCCAUUUCAUGUAUUCGAUUUAAAGAUGCUUUGGUGUGUGCAUCUGCAAAUUCACAGGCCAGAGGUAUAAUCAUUUGUAUUUUAUUAUUUUCACUUGUCAAGUUGAGUUCAACAAUAUUUUUCUAAAAUUAUUUUGCUAACCUUUAGAAGUUAACUAGUAAAUUUGCUUCACGUUUCUAAAAAAACCUUAAUUUGCUUUGCUUUUACAAUUUUAAAAUUUGGACAUCCGAUGGCACGAGGCUAGAAGUUAACUUGUAACAAACACUUCUCUCGAGUCCCCGCAUCGCCUCAACCUUCCAGCCCAGUUACAGGUUGUUCCAAAAUAAGCAUCAGGCCACACCUUUCAGUCCAGUUAAAGUUCCAGCGAGAAGCCCAUGCAGUGUCUCAACAAAGUCCUAUCCUUUUACUUAUUUUUGGCAGAAAAAAUAUCCAUCGCCAAGAUAAAAAGACGUAAAAAUAAAUAAAUUUUAGACUAACCCCCUCUUGACAACCCAAACUUAUUUAUAAACAAAGAGCUCUAUCAUUUGAGCUACCAUUAUAUAUAUAUAAGACUAAUCCAAAAAAAUUAUUCUUUACUAAAUAUGACUAAUAAAUAAAAGUCCAAGUCCAGUUGGCAGAGCCGGGGACAUUGGCCUUCAAUUGCCAACACGUUUGUCACAAAUCAUAAAUGAAAUUUAUUGUACAUACAACUUUAUUCAUACUCAUAACAAUUACAGGUACACUAAUUUGGACCUAAGAUCCAAGAAAAUUCAAAGAAACUCCCAUGACUAAAAACUAUAAUGAAAUCUCUUGAAAACACCUUCUUCGCGGUACCAAUAUCUUCUCAAAGAAAUACUCCAAAGACUUCGAUAAAGAGGCUGCAAUUGGAUUGGAGCAACGAUGUUUUCACUCUUUCACCCGCACGAACAUUACCAAUAAUGGUUUUUAAAAGCCUCUUGAGUCGCCCAUCCAUCGAUGAACAAAAUUUAUUGUAAUUAUAGGAAAUAAAAUUAGCCUCAACCUUCUAGCCCAGUGACAGAUCAGGCUCCACCUUUCAGCCCGGUUAAAGAUCCAGGCAGAAGCCCAUACAGCGUAGCAACAAAGUCCUUUUUUUUUGCACGUCUCAUUUUCUGCAAGGAAAAAAAUGCACGCCAAUAUAUAUAGAAAUAAAAAUAAAUAAUAAUGGAGAUGGGAGGUAUCGAUCCCCCUGCCUUUCAAGAUGCGUCUUAAAUGCUCUACCAUUUGAGCUACAUCCCCUUUGACUUUUGUAGGAUAAUCAAGCUAUUAGACUAUUAUGUGACCUCCCAGAAGAAAACUCCACGGCAACAACAAAAGGAUGAUUAGACUAUUAUGUGACCUCCUAGAAAAAAGACUAUUUUCUGACGAGUACGUGCUUUGAAGAGCAUUUGAGAAGCUAUUUUCUAUUCUCUAUAAAAGAUAAUAUUUUACGUGGUAUUGUCAAUCUAGACCGGGACUCCGACAAUGUAAAAAACAAGUUGUCUUGAUGUUUGCAAUGAUGUUUUUUUUGCGGGGACAUACCGAGAACCAUCUUUUACAGGGGAAUCCGAGUGAUAAAUUGUAUGGUAUAUAAAUUCUGAAGAUUCGUGUACCGUCUCUAGUUUUAAAAUGGUUUUAUAGAAAUUGAGUAGGUGCAUGGCCCCAACUCGGCUGAACAUGGUUCGCCCCUUGGUCUUUUUAAUGUGUUUCUUGCAUAAUAAGCCGCUUAUUUAUGUGUUCUAAACCAAAACUAUGGUGUAGCACGUGUUGCAACCAAUUUUCAUAGUUUGUCACACUGAAUGGAAACUCGUUACAUACGCACUUACGAUACAAUCUUUGUCACAGAGUUUGGGAAUAUGGAUCAGCCUCCAGCAGAAGCUCAUCCACAGUCCCAACUCCCAACACAGUUUUCUUCUUGUUGGUUACCGGUCUCAUAUUCUACCGAAAAAAGGCCGGCAAAAUAUAUUUAAAAUGGUAAAAAGGAAACGGUUUAUCAGAUGGGAAGUAUAUGGAUCAAGGCUGAGCCCACUUUCCCAGUCACGACUUACGGAUGGUUCCUUUGUUCCUUACAUAAAAAUGUAAUGAAUUGUGUAAUAGCUUCAUCAUUGACGAGGUUUGUGACAGAAGAUCAAUUAAGCUGAUUUCUGAGAUCAUCUCAAACCAGAAAAAUCUAGGACACUAGAGACUAGGCUAGAGCCAAAUGUUUCGGUCUUUAUUAAAGAGGUGAACUGGGGGCAAUCUUUUUGACCCAGCUAAAAGUUUGCUGAGAAGUCGUGGGAACCGAUGGUAGAAGGGACCAAAACUGGCACUCAAGAUAAUUCUGAAGGUCCAUAAGAACACCAUUUAAUCUUGAGUUUAAUGUUUUGCUACAACGUCAGACCAUACGUCUGAACCUUUCCAAGGAAGGUGACCUGACACUACGCUAAAAAAAAGAGAUUGUACACCGAGCAACAUAAUCAGAAAUUGCUUUUCAGAUGCAUAACAACAAAUGGACAAGUAUUAGUAUGCUAAAUUUUGUGCUGAAGAAAUGCUCCCGAGAAAAGAUGGACAUGCUUCCAAUGUUGUCCAUGUAGUGGUCAGAAAGGUCUUUGCUUGUCAACUGCUUGCCCUGUACUCCUGCAAAAGGUUAAACGUACGAAUUAAUGCCCUUGCGAUCAAACAAUGUUGGUGGUAACAACCAGUGACAGAUAUAUCUAGAACACUGAAAGUUUAUAGUCAUGAUAAUCACAAGAGCGGCGGAAACGAAAACUAUGACUCGAGUCAAAUGGAACAAAAUAUAUGAAGUUUGUAUGCCUACAUUAUCCAAUAUCAGCGAGAGGAUGCUCAAAAGGUAAAUAGUUAUCAAGAAAAAUGUGUGGUUCAAGAUAUUGAUACUAUAGAAAUCAAAAAACCCCAUUCGGCACAAUCAAGGGAAUAUUAUGAAGAUAUACCCCCACAGCAAAAUCCCACAUCAAAAUACAACUGAUAAUCAACUUGUUGUAAAUGUUCAUUUUUAGAGCGGGGGCAUGUGGCAUGAGGAAGAAAUGAGAGUCUUGGCGUGUGUAGAGUGAGUAUGUAGCCAGUUAACAGAGUCUCUUUUUUACAAUCAUCCAUUCAAUGGAAGUGGGUGCAAAUAUUGUACCAUAACAGUGUCGAGGAGAACCUUGGCUUCAUUGUUGGUGUUGAAGUGGUCACGAACAGGCUGAAAAAUACAAAGCCGUAUUAGCAUAACCAAAUCUAUACAUGAAUAAAUAUGAGGCAUUGUAAAUUAUAUCUAUAAAAGAUGAACUUGACUGAAAAUAAUAGAAAGGUUUCCAGAUUCAAAAUCACUUUACUAGGACACAUGAUUGACACCAAACAAUAAAAGCAAUACAUCAGUACUAUUUGUCAGGAAGGAAUCACACAAACUGAGAAACGCAGUGAUGCAAUGAUAGAAUAAAUAGCAACAAAAGCUAUCUCAAGCAUUACAAAAUCACAGUACAAUCGACUAAACAAUUAAUAAUGAGAAACAUAGUGCUCAAUGAACUAAAAGGCCAAAAAAAGCUGGUAAUGCUCAAAGAGUGCAUAAGUUAAUGACUAGUGAAGAAGUGCACGACAAUAUUGGGAAAAAAUGUGAAAAAACAAUACCUUCAAUAUUUCAUUGAUUGCUUUAGCCAAAGAAGUUUUAACGUCGGCGGGAUGCAAAGUACCACUCGUAUAAUCAACAAUGAGUUCAUCCAUGCUUAAAAAUGUCCUGUUUAAAUAGCAAUCAUUGUUAUAACUCCGCAGAAAAAAAACUCAAUAGUACAUAAUUUUCAACAUAGAUAACUUAGAGGGAUGACCAUGUGUUUAUUCAACAAUCAUAGUUAAUGGUGGCAUAGACAUCUAUAUAUUAUCAUAUUAUAUGGUUCUAUCUGAUAAUCUACUCUAAGUAUGAGUUUCAAACUUUUGGUGGUCCAAGAAAAGAAUAUUACUUGUUACCGCCAUUUCUUUCUUUCCGAACCACCUCAAACUUGUCAAACCAAGGGAAAACAAUGUAUUUGAUGUACUCUAGGCAUGGAUUUCCGUCAACAAUGUUGGAAUUUUCGUCAACAGUGUUGGGAGGAGGAGGAGGAGGGCAGAAAGCUUGAUUUAUUUUCAAUUUCACCUGAGCCUGCAAUAAAUUUGGUUACAAACAAUAUCAGCUUAGAGAAAUGGCAAAAGUUCACAAAUAAAUGUUAGUCUAUAAAUCCAAAGUUAAAAUCAGAUUGAUAAAAAAUGACUACAUGCCAUCUAAAAGAUCAAUUGAACAACAAACAUAAACUAUAAACAAAUGGUAAAUACAGUGCAAACCAGACUAAAGUGGUAGUAGAACCUUUUUAAAAUACUGGAAAUCCAAGGUUGGAUGGAAGACAAAGACAAUACCCUACAAUACUAUUCCUAGCCGAGGAAUGGACUAAAUAGGUAUAUUUCAAAAUUCAAACACCCCAUAUGAGGUUGAAUGGACUAAAUAGGUGUCAUAAGUUUUGGAAACAAAUAAAGAUUGUUAGUGAAGAGAAAAUGACAUGAGAACCUCAUCAUCUUCCAUAAAGAUAGCUGAUGUUGGAUCACUUUUUGACAUCUUCUCCUGGCCUUGUUUGAAACCGGGGAGCAUAUCUGUGGUUUAUGUUAAGGAACAAAUGUUUUUGUACAGCCUGGCAAUUAACCACUAUUUUGGAAUUCUAAUACCAUAAUCACUGAGACACAGAUAUCAGCGAUAAUAAGAAGUAAAAAGACAAUGUAGAAAAAACAAUUUUACAGCAGAUCAGGAUACGAUGUGACAGAAUAAUUGGUUUGUUCUUCCUCUUGAUGUCAUCACAGUAUUCCCUCGCUAACAUGUUUACCUUCCUUUGGUCCAUGCCCAACUGACAUAUGUCCGCCUGCACACGGCAACAGACUAGAGAAAAUGAGUUACAAUCCAGAAAUCUGGAAUAAAAGUAUACCACACUACAAUGUCGGGUGAAAUCAGAAAAUAUCAGUAACCUUAUUUACAUUAUGUAAAUACUAACUUUGAUUUUACCCAGGGUUGUCCGCGAUAUGAAUAUACUAACCUUCAGGAAGAAUAUGUCAGCACACUGCAUGCAAGGAUAGAAGAUCUGUGCAGCAGUUAGGUCCUCACUGUCAGCGCGGCCCAUAAUCGUACAACACGUGUGUGUGCAGUAAUUAAGGAAAAAUGAGAUAACUAAUGUAUCUUUGAUAUAGUUCAAGCUUUGGAGUCAAGAAUCACUUGAAUGCAUAUGCAGUACAAGUGGCUGUACCUUGUUAUUCGUUUGACUUUAUUUCUCCUGGCAAUGUCCAUUACAAGUGGCCAGUAUUCACUUGCACGCUUAUUGAUUUCUUCCGAAGACCAUAAGAAUUCAACACCGUCCAGGUUCAUACCGGCUGCUUUCCAUAUUUCGAUCAUGUAGCGCCCGACGGUCUGGAUUUUCUCCAGGUCGCCGCCCAUCUUGUUGUUUAGUUGCGCAAACCAGUCUGCUAUCCAGAUUUUCACCUUGCAUCCCGCUCUGAUCAUCUUGUUAACAUUAAUUGUCUUCACAAUACCCUGUGAAUACAACACAUGAGAAUGUCUGUCACCUACCCGCAAAAGAGAAGAAAAUAGAAUGUCUGUCACCAGCAAGUCCGGCUCAGGUCUUGCAAUCUGAGACAAUUUGCGUAUGCUUCUCACACAUGACUAAAGCAACAAUUUUAACAAUGUUGUGUACUGGCUUCGAUCAUAAUCGUGGAAGCAUACCCAAGAAUUGCGAAGGACGUACGUGUAAGAUUAAAUAUUUAUUUAUACUAGCAUGUAUAUUCUUACUACUGUUAGGGCAAUGAAACAUGGGAGCAAUGAACCCAAAACCUGCUGGCGCAUCCAUACAAUUACCAGUCAGUCAGGAUAGUGCUCCUUAAUUUUUCAGGAGCUUUUUAUUCUAACAAUCUUAUUCCGUUCUCUAUCAUAGACUUCGGUUUCGGUUUGCAAGAAUAAGAACCACCCAUUGACCCAUACACCUAUAAUCAACACAUGACACUUAACCAAUAUUAUCCAUGCAAAUAUACAAUGAGUAAGAGUUAAAAAAAUUAGGCUAGGCCUGGUUUUAUGAAAAAACCUAAGCUAGGUUAUAUCAUGCCAACUGAUAAAUUAAUUUGGGUACCGAUCGAUGGCUAGUAGACACGAGAAUGCGGUGUGGAAUCGGAACCUGAGCGACGUGCAUGCGGCCGGAGGGCUCGAAUCCGUCGUAGCAGAUGGGGACGGGCUUGUGUUGCAGCAGCUGCCUAAACUCAUCUUCCUGGAUGCACUCCUCGCCGAUGCUCAUCAGCAGGUCGAACCGCUCGUCCAGGCUCAUGCUCAUCCCAGCCACGGCUUCGGUGCCGGCGGAGGCGUUGGCAGCCAUGGAAGGGUCGGUUGAUGCGGCGGAAGAGGAGGAGACGUCGGCAGCCGCGGAAGGAUUCGGUCGAUCAGGAGAGGCGAUAGAAGGUGCCGGCCUAGGGUUUUAUUACGUACUAUACUCUUUUUCGAUCGAGAGACAGGAUGUCGUACGUUCCUUACGUGGCCGCUACUUCAUAUUCUCAACAAUGCCGGGAACACGCGGGUCCCUACUUCAAAACCAGUCAUGCAAAAAAAAAAGUUUUCCUUCCCCACUAAAUAAUAACUUUAUGGUAAUGCUAACCGGCAAACGUUCGCCGGGAAAGAACUUCGAACUAACGAAGUCGCUGCCUUUUGAUCAAGAAUCGAUCAAACUGUAAAUACAUUUAGUGGGGUUUAGGGUGUUGAAGUCUUCUUCAUUCUUCCAUCGGCGGCGUGUGCGUGGGCAAACCUUGUUGCCACCUCCGAACCUCUGUCUUAGUGAAGCAAAUUUGUUUAAACCCCAAUAAUUUGUAAAAACAGUGACGAGGAAGUCAUCAAUGUAGACCGGAAGACGCCGACGACCACGAUCUGUGUAGCAAAUCGCCGUCCAAGGAAAAAAAGACAGAGAGGGGGCCUAUAGAAAGCCUUAGUUAUGGCAAAACAAUGUCGGAGAACACAAACCACUCUCGCUCCCCGACGAGGGCAUGUUUUUUUAGAAAAGGAGGACCCCCGGCCUCUGCAUCUAGGCGAUGCAUACGGCCAUUUUAUUAAUUAUUCUCAUAAGACCUUACAAAGUAAUACCACAUUAAGACUAAAGUUACCAUCUAAGCAACAAACUGUCGCUACACCUAUAUAUCCAGUUGAUGAAGGGACGCAGAUAGCCUGGGCCUAAUAUCAAACAGACAUCGCAGCCAAACCUAACAUCUAAGACCCGAGGACCCAUCCAGGACGCCUGCCGGGCAUGGGUCUCGCGCGGUCCGGCGUGUUCUCAGAGGCCGCCGCCGCCAACUGCCACCGCUCCAUCUUCAGAACUGUACUGAUGCAUCAACCUUGUUUGGUCUAGCUAUCGUCGACGCCACCACGGCGCCCAAUGGCACCUCCCUGUGCGCAAACAGCUGAGCACGUCGCGGUCGCCACUGAUACACCUCAGCACCAUGCUGCCAAGUACCACCAGCCGACACGGCUUGAAAUCUUUGAAGAAUCUGUCGUGCGUACCACCUGCCGACCAGGCAGGACAAAGCGUAGCCCCUGUCGGUCAGGCAUGACUUGAUAUCUUCACCGAAGCUCCAUGCAAGACGAAGCCGCUCCACCUCCUGCCUCUGACUUCCAGCGCUGCUCCACAAACAAUGCUCCCAAGAGAGAAACGACACCGCAGUGCCGCCAUCGUCCGAUCUGGAACAUCAUAUCCUAGGGUUUCCCCCAGAGCAGCACGAAUGGGUCGACAGUACUUACACGACGAUGCCUCCAUCAAGGUAACGGCGUAGAACGUCACCAUCGCCUGCCAACGGCUCGGUUUUCACCGGCAACCAUGUUUCCCCAACUCGCAGCCGGGACUAGAUGAUGGAUCCCGAGAUCCGAUCACCAAGCCUCUGCCCGGCCAUCUCUGACGAAGAAGAUGACCACCACCAUUGGCCAGCGAGACGACGCGAAAUGAAGUAGGGAGCUGCCAGCGUGCGUCCUGGCCAGCACCACUGGCGACCGGCCCGUCCCGGACCACGCCUCAUGACCGAGGGCAACGGCAAGCGCUGCCACUACGAGGACGCAGACCGGAAGUCCAGAUCCGACCCACCCGCGCGCCGCCACGUGGCCACCACCAAGCGCCGUUCAGGGGUAGCCCCGCCGCCAUGAGGGACGCCGCCCCAUGGGCAGCAGGCGCCAGCCACCGGCGGAACUCCGCCGCGCGCCACCGGCCGCCGCGAGAUCGCCAUCGGCCGUCGCGAUAUCUGCGCGAGAAAGACGAGGAUGCCCCGUCACCACCUUCCCUGGGGACCUCGCGGGCUUCGCCGGUGUCCCCUCCGGCGACGGCGAAGCGGGAGAGGAGCGGGGAGGGGCGGCUGGCGGCGCUGUUAGGGUUUCCCCCGUGCGCCAGAGGCAACGCGUGGGGGACGGGCGGACCUACCAACUUAAAAGAACGGGGGGACGAGGCCAUGUUUGACCAACCUUCAUUUGUCGGAACUAGAGACAGGGGACCAACAUGUACGUACACCCACGUUUUCCACUCCACAAGACAGUGCAACCGAGACAAACCUGCAGAAGAGAACGCAGGACCCCAAAGAACUAGCUUCGAGGACACACAAUCUUCAACACGCCUCCUGACGAUACGAAGAAGCAUCACCGAAAUAAGGGCAAGGUGGGGAGAUUUUAUUCCACGCAGACAACCGCACCAUCAUCUCACCACCGUUCGCACCUACCUAAGGCCCAAAAAAGGAAACCUAUUGUUCCCACCGGUAGAUCAGGGACUCCCCGCACACCCUCACCAAUGGAGUUGGAGAGAAGAAGGAGGCGGCGAUCUACCGACAAAAGAGGAUGACGACGGGGAAGAAACCCUAGGUCAUUUUGGGAUGGGGCUGCGUCGCGCGAUCUUAAACGACACACCCCUUUUUUAAUAAAUGAGUAAGACUUUUAAAUGAGGAGAAAAAUCUCUAUUACUAGUAUUCUGGAAAAAAAUUAUAUGAGACCAGGUCUCACAGUUAGCAGGUGAGACCCGCCCUGAUAAAAUGACACGUGACAUUCACAAAUCCUAAACUCCCCCCCCCCCCCCCCCCUGAUUUCAAGUGAGGGUGAGGUAGAUGCUUUGUGAUUUGUGAAUGUCACGUGUUAUCCAUCAGGAUGUGUCUCGUGUGAGACCUGAUCUCAUAGAAUUCUUUUCCUUGUAUUUCCAACCCACCAGAGGGAUCCACCGUGGAUGACUCCUGACAGGAUGUUGCUGCCGGGUCAGGUUCUUCUCUUCAUCGAUUAGCUCCUUUUCUUUGGAACUUCCAUCGACUAGCUCCUGGCCAUGAAGAAAAUGCUGAAUGAACAUGUGCGUAGUCAUUUUUUUAGGCAAAUAUGUGCGUAGUCAUGGGACUAUUGCACUGUCACGAUACGAUACAAUGUUGACACUAAAAUUCCAUCUUCCGGCCCAAAUAAAGAUACUUUUGUUAAAUUAACUGGGCCUGCACCUUCCAGCCCAGUUAAAGGUCGAGGCAGAAGCCCAUGGAGCGUCUGACACAGUUUUUCCUUUCUUUGUACACGUUAAAACAAAAUUUAAAUUUUCUACAGCAAAAUAAAUCGUUAGAAAACCAAUAAAUAAAUAAUUUGGAGAUGGGAGGUAUCGAUCCCCCUGCCUUUUAUUAGCGUCAUAAAUGCUCUACCAUUUGAGCUGCAUCCCCAUUGAUAUCCAUCUAAUUAAUGAAAGCAAUAGUAGUAUCGAUCAAUUAGCAUUAAUAAAUAUACUACAGAUGGUUCCUACACACGGAAACUAAAACUGAACUUUUUUUAGAAAAUAACAGCAAAAAUGUCAGGCUCCAGAAAAUCGGAAUAUACACUUAUACUCCCUCCGUUCCUUUAUAUACUGUGUAUUUGUUUUUGAUAAAAUUCCAUAAUAUAAAGUGCAUUUCUUCUAAUUCCUCAUAAUUCCGUCGUUAGUCCUUUAAAAAAGGAGAGUAUCUCUCCCCUGAUUGCUAGCAUCUCUUCUUAUAAAGAGAAAAAAGAAAGUAUCUCUCUUCUAAUUGUGUUUAUCUCCUACUUUCCUUGCAUUUAGUUGCCGCUAAUCAAUGACUUUGCCAAGGUUAAUUUUCUCUUAACAUGUAUAUAAUUAUGUGUCUUGGUCACCGUGCCAGAAAUAAUAUACCUUACAUAAAGGAAUGGAAGGAGUAUCAAAGAAGAAGGGCUUCCAAGUCAACUCAAGACAAGUAACCUCCCAGUGGAUUCACAAAAAAAAUCACCUUCGGAGCUACUGGGCAUAGUCCGUGUCAACAGAGACGGCACCAACGGUGAUGACGUUAUCACGGGCUUUCACCUCCUCAGCCUUUCCCAACAUUCCUCGCCUAUUCUCAACCGGCGACACUAUGCCCUAGAACUCCUCACUCACAAGCAGCACGGCCAACAGGUCGCCCCGCCUGGCACGGUCGAGCUGGACAAAGUACAAUGUGUCCUCAUGCGAAUUGUUGCCCGUGGCAUACUUGGCCUUCACCGUCUCAUCCUCUUCGUCCUCAACAUAUGCUUUGUAUGUGAGCCGAAGGAGGACCCCACCGGAUGACCGCUUCCUGAAGAAGCCCACCAUCCAUAUUAAUUACAUGACAAUCUUUGAGUGAUGGUAGAACUUUAACCGAUUCCAAAUUGGUUCUCCUGGUAGGCCAGCCAUAGUUGUUUGACUGCCGGUGUACUCUUGCUCUUUAUGACUUGAUCACCAAGAAUCAUCAACAUGAAAGAGAGGCUGCAAGUGAAAUGAAACGUCUAAACUUUCGCCAACAUGAAGUGAGAAACAUGAGUUAAGUUUUUAUUCCUUUUUUAGCUUACGUAAGUGUGGUUUUAUUAAUGAAUUUAAUUGAAUCUGAAUGAUGCACCACUCAAUAGAAGCACCACCUCUCGACAUCUUGUUUGAUAAGCGGAAUUUUGAUCCAGGCGCCCAAGUGUUGCGUAACCGUUCGACCAGAUUCCCCGCUCUAAUUAGAGGUUAAAAAUAGAUUAGUGUCGGAUGUGGAAAAGGUUGGGUUUUCCUAUGAGUGGGCCCUUCGAUCAUGAAAGUAUUUCCAUUGAUAUACUAGUACUCUAAUAUAGACCUAAGCACAAAUAUCUCAACCAUAAUAUCCAGGAGCAAUAUGGACUGGUUAGAGCUAUAACUAUUUCAGUCCUUAGAGGGCUGGGUGGGAGCAACCUUUUUUGACCCAGCUCAAAGUUUGCCUACCUAUCGUACUCUAACAGUCUAAUUGCAGAAAAUUGUUAGAGCACUUUCUUGAUAUAAUUUUUUUGCAGGAAAACUUUGAAUCUAUUAAUUUUUCAAUUAUGGCAGUACCACAGACAAUAUAAAUAAAAUAUUGGAUCCACAGAAAGAAUUGGAUCUCGACUCUAGACUAAAUAUGAAGAUUGUAAAUCAUAGACAAUUGAAAGCAAAGAAUCAUUACCGAACAAGACAAAAGCUAAGAUUUCUACCAUCAACCAGCAUCACUCAUGGCUCAUGUUACCCCCAGAAAAAAAAACUUUUCUCUUUCCCACAAAAAAUAUAUAAGCCAUAUAAAAGUAGACCAAAUUUAUAGAGAAAAAUUAUCAAUAUCCAUAAUACCAAAUCAAUAUAAUUAUAUCUAAGAAAUGUGUUUUCAUGAUUUAUCUAUCUGGUAUUGUAGGUAUUUUUUGAAAAAACAACUUGGUCAUAUUUUUUAAUGUUUGAGUUAGCACCAAAUGACAUGCCCAGUAUUUUUGGAAAGAAAUGAGUAAGAUUUAAGUUAGGAAAAAAUGAUUUCACUAUUAGGUUAAAGGUAGAUCUUUCUAACCAAUCAAUAUAUCUAAAAGAAAAAAUAGGUAAGUGGUUAAAAACCCCACAAAAAAUUUUCUUCCAUAUCGAGGCAAGUUUGUGCUUUGAUCAACCAUCUCAGAUGAUAUUUCCUUUUCUAGCAAAAUGAUAUUUCAUGAAGUACUAUCGGCAAUCUAGACGACUUGGACAUUAUGUCGCAAUAGGUGUUUUUUGCAUGAGCGGUCCUAAAAGCAUUUUUGACGAGGUAGGAGGGGGAGACAAUGAUAUGAAUUGUCUUCAAAAUAAAAUCAGGAGAUUAUCAUAUCUUUUAUCAAAUUUUAAAUGGAUUUUAUUGAAUUUCUAGAAAUUUAGUAGGUGCAUGGCCUGCACAUCAGCACAUGGGUCCACGCCUGGUUUUCUUUCAUUCUGCCCAGCAUAUGUAUUUUAUAGUUUGUGUCUGCAUGUAACUAUUUUUUAGGAUACAAUGUUUUUUGUUGCAGUUGUGCUUUUCUACCAGUAUUAUUUUUAAGAAGCUUCUACAACAGUCGCACUGGCAUUUUUUAAGGUUUUUUUUUCGAGAAUCAAUUUUUGUGAGGGGUAGGUAGUCGCACUGGCAUGAUACGCUACGAUGUUGACACUGAAAAUCCACCUUCCGGCCCAAAUAAGGAUUCUUUUGUUAAAGUGGCUGGGCCUCCACCUUCCAGUCCAGUUACACAGAUCCAGGCAGAGCACGCAGUUACAAAUUCCACCUUCCGGCCCAAAUAAGUAUUUUUCUCUCUCUUUCUUGCCGGUAAAAUAUUCUUCAGCAAAAAUAUUAUCAAAAUAAAAUAAAAUAAGAAAAAUAAUUUGGAGAUGGGAGGUAUCGAUCCCCCUGCCUUUUAUAAGCCGUAUAAAUGCUCUACCAUUUGAGCUACAUCCCCGUUGAUACCAAUCAUAUUAAUUAGAGCAAUUAAUAUCAACUAAUUCUGAUUAAUAAAUAUAUGUACGAAAGAUAAACGGAUUGUUCCUUCCACGCAUACAAAAAUGGAGAUAUACUUCUUCCAUCCGAAAAUACUUGUCAUCAAAAUGGACAAAAAAAAGUAUCUAGAAUUAAAAUACAUCUAGAUACAUCACUUUUUAUUUAUUUUGAUUACAAGUAUUUCCGAACGGAGGGAGUACAUACUUCAUAUACUGAAACUAAAUAGCCUCCAAAAAAUCUGUCUUCGGAUUUUCACAUGAUCACUCUACCAGGGCCAUAUUUGAAGCACCGUAGGCAAAGAAUAGAGAGAAUUCCUUAUUUAACACGGUCCUUAAAUUUUAUGCCCUAUUUGAUAUCGACAAAUUAUUUUUUCCCUAUCUAACACCGAUUCUAAAUUUUAUGCCUUUUAUGACACUUCUGUCCAUUUUAAGCCUUAGUGACACAUGAAAAGACCUUUUUACCCUUCGCGCGGUAUAUUUGUGCACGUGUGUGCUGUUGUGUGUGCGUGAAGGGUGAUCAGCAUUGCCGGUUAAUUAGAUUUGAAAAAUCACUAGUAAUCUAGCUGGGACGUAUACGUGGCAGGGCAGCACUCCGGAGUCCUAUUCGUGUUAGUACUAGCCUACUAGGUAAGCCCUAUACUAGCUUAGUUAGCUUUGGGUGUAUGCGUGUCCGUCUAGGUCUAGGUUUAUUUUGAGUCACUUUUCCGUGCACGGUCUAUACGGUCAGAUUUGUAGCACAGACAAAUUAAGAAAAUAAAGAUAAACGAGGGCACCACAAUGCCCCUUGGCUAUCAGUUUUUUGUAUGCAUGUGUUCGCCUGAAUUGAUGUGAUCAAUCAUGUGGCGAAUUUACAACAGUGUGCGUGUAUGUUGUUGUGUGUGUAUGUGUUGAUGCGUGUGUGCUACUGUCAUUGCUUGUGUGUGCACUACUGCCCCGCACUGCCUGCACACGCACAUACCACAUGAGGGGCAAAAAGAUCUUUUCAGAUGUCAUGUAGGCUUAAAAUGGACGAAAGUGUUAUAAAAAGCAUAAAAUUUAAACUCGUUGUUAGGUAGAGAAGAAAUUUGUUUCCAGUGUUAAAUAAGGAAACAAAAAUUUAAGAUGGUGUUAAAUAAGAAAUUGUUUCCAAAGAAAAAGGGCUUUCCAAAUCAGCUCCCGGGCAACAUAGACACACCCCCGCACAUGAAACAAGCAAAGUUCACACCCCAACGUAGACACUCCUCGCUCAUGAGCAGCGUGACCAGGAGCUCCAUUAAGGUCUCCAUCUCAUUCUCGUUGAACUCAUCCUGCCUGGCACUGGCACCAUGAUGAGCAGCUCAAGAUCUACUCGUUAUUUGACUCGGCUCGAGAUCGACUCGAAAAGAAAUGAGCUGAGUUUGAACAUUUUUUGUAGCUCGACCAAGAAAACGAGCCGAUCUUGAGCCAAUAUUGGCUCGCUUGAUUUUAGCUCGAUUGCUUGACAUAUUAUAUUAAAUGAAAAUAAAAUAAUUUGUUACCAUAUAUGAGGCCCAUGAUUUUUCUCCAAUUUAUUUACCAGCAAACAUGGAAGCUUAAUUAAGUGUGGAGAAGGUUUUGGCCUAAUUAUUAUGGUCUUAAUUGGAAUAAUAUUUUUAGUGCUUUCUUAUGUUAUGUUGUGCGUUAUCUAGUUGGAAUAAUCGUCAUAGAUUUAUAAUUUUUACUGUCUCAUUUAGCUCGAAAAUAGCUCGAGAUCGUUACAAGUUGAGCACGAGCCAUAUUCUAUAGCUCGAUCUUGAGCUUCACUUAGUUUGAGCUCGCUCGAAUUAUAAUAUGAGUUGAGCUGAGCCAAGUCCAACUCGCUCGAACUCGACUCAUUUGCAACUCUACCUGUAGCCAGUUGUCCUUUGCGCGUGAGUCGGCAUAUGGAUGGACGGCCCUAAAACCGUUGUGGUGCUACGGUACAAUGGUUCUGCCUCUUUCAUCCUACCCGCGGGUAAUCCCUUACUGAGCCUACUCAAGCAAUCUUCCAUUAGCCGCUCUUUACUUUAUAGUCAAGCAAUUAUAAACUCCUUAUUUAGGAUAUGGUUGAAGCCUUGAAGAUGCCUGCUUGUCGGUAUCAUGGUGUCCCGAAAGCGACGGUUUCUCUUUGCUAGAAUCCGAGGUAACGGCUGUGGAUGACGAGGUUGCACGGUUGGCUCGACGACAAGCAUCAUUGCAGUGGUGGUGGCUCCUCUUUGCUAUGCGGGUAGCAGGGGGAGGGGUAGCAGGUGAUCUUUGGUGUCAUCAUGGCUUCGCCUGUGGCAGCUCCCUGAUUUGGAUUUGAACGCCUUGUGCUGAUGGCGUCCCUUCCCUCGCGGUUUGGGUCAACAACCACUACUAGGAAAAACCUUAUAUACAAAAUCUUAAUAACAGCGCGGCAUAAAAAGAAGCGCUACUGCUAAUUAGCAGUAGCGCAGGUUUUUAAACCUCGCUACUACUAAGUUGAUAGUAGUAGCGCGGGGUUUUAACCCUCGCUACUACUAAGCAGUCUCUACCGUGCCCCCGACACAUGCCAUAGUAGUAGCGCGGUUUUAUACCCCUCGCUACUACUAAGUACGAGGUAGGUGAAGUCGCCAUAUACUCAGCCGAAUCCCCAUCUCAUCUUCCAAAUCCCUCCUCUCUUCCACCAUUCUCUCCUCUUACUUUCCAUACGCUCUCACAUGGAUCUCUUGCCCAUGCGCCCAUCCAUCUCCGUGGCGCCGAAAGAGGCCGCCGCCUCGCGCCACCGGCGUCUAGGAGCUCGCCGGUCUUCCACUGACGUCUAGGAGGCCGCCGCCCCGCGCCACCACACUAGAGCACCUCACCACCGGUGACUAGCUCCGCUGCUCCCUACAUCACCUUCCUCUCUCCCUCGGUUUUCCUUUCCUCUCUCUCCCUCUGGUUUGACUCACCCUACCAUGUCCACCAUGUCCAUGCCCAUGCAGGUCGUCGCCAUGGACGACCCGGAGCUAUCUGGCAUGGUCAGGAAGAGGAGCCCCACGCCGCGGCCUGGCUCUGCCAUAGAAACGGGCCCUCUCCAACAGCCACUGCUGGAUCUGGUCUUCCGUUGUCCGUUCAUGCCUCCUGUGACGCCAAACAUCGCUAGAUCGAACCACUGCUACCAUUGACAACACGCACGGGAUCGAGAUUUUUUUUGUUUUUGAAAGUAAUAGCAGUAGCGCAGGAUAUAAGACCCGCUACAGCUAAUCAGCAGUAGCGUUGUUUGCAACACACGCUACAGCUAACCAUGUAUAGCAGUAGCGUGUGUCAACACGCGCUACUGCUACAAGUUAGCUGUGGCGCUGUAUCAGUAGCGCGGGCACCCCGCGCUACUGAUACACCCAAAACCCGCGCUGCUGCUAGGCUUUUUCCUAGUAGUGAACCUUGGUUUCGUGGGUGGCACUUGUGAGGGUACAGUCUAAGAAAAAGAUCCAAGCUUCAAUGCCAGUGCUGGCGACGACGACACAUGUGGGUGUCGCUUCCCUCUUAAGGCAUUGUUGUGGGUCCCCUCAUGGUCUUGGGCUCUGGGGUGAAAACCUUAGUCAACCCUCUUGGGCUCGACAAUGGCGGCGCUUGGCGUCAUUACCCUUCUUGAGGGCGUCGUCGACCAGGACCCUUUCCAAAGACCACCUUCAAAUCCUUGACCAUAUCAUGUACAUCAGCACCAGUACGGUGGCGAGGCUUCGUCCGGUGAUCCGCCUCACCUUUGAAAUGCUUGCCUUUCUUUCUUACGGGAUGCCUGCUCGGAAGAAAUCGACGAUGUCCCAGGUACACAUUCUUCUUACAAUUAGCCAAAUAUAUACUGUCGGUAUCGUCCAAACAGUGCGUGCAUGCGCGAUAUCCCUUGUUUGUCUGUCCUGAAAGGUUACUGAGAGCAGGCCAAUCAUUCAUGGUCACGAACAGCAAUGCCUUUAGGUCAAAUUCUUCCCCCAUGUGCUCAUCCCACGCACGUACACCUGUUCCAUUCCACAGUUGUAAGAGUUCUUCAACUAAUGGCCUUAGGUACACAUCAAUGUCGUUGCCGGGUUGCUUAGGGCCUUGGAUGAGCACUGGCAUCAUAAUGAACUUCCGCUUCAUGCACAACCAAGGAGGAAGGUUAUAUAAACAUAGAGUCACAGGCCAGGUGCUAUGGUUGCUGCUCUGCUCCCUAAAAGGAUUAAUGCCAUCUGCGCUUAGACCAAACCAUACGCUCCUUGCGUCAUCUGCAAACUCCUUCCCGUACUUUCUUUCGAUUUUUCUCCACUGCGACCCGUCAGCGGGUACUCUCAACUUUCCGUCUUUCUUACGGUCUUCUCUGUGCCAUCGCAUCGCCUUGGCAUGCUCUUUGUUUUGGAACAAAUGUUUCAACCGUGGUAUUAUGGGAGCAUACCACAUCACCUUGGCAGGAAUCUUCUUCCUGGGGCGCCGGCCCUCGACAUCACCAGGGUCAUUGUAACGCCCUCGAUGCGGCUAUGUCUCCCACGUGUCGAGGCACGACUUAGAGACAUAGGCGCAUGGAAAGCAAUGUCGCAAGUCGGGAAUCAUUACACAACCCAUGUACAUAUAUAAUAUAAAGGGGAAUAAUAUAAUAGUUGGCUUACACUCGCCACGUCACAUCAAAGUACAUAAAAAACAUCCAUCAUACAAUCACUCAUGGCCCGACUACGGCGCCAAAAUAGAAAAGACCCCCAACAAGCGACUAGGCCCUGAAUCUAACCCCGAAUAGGCACCACUACUGAUCAUCAGGAAAAGACACAUAGUAUCGCUGAGAGUCCUCGUCGUACUCCCACUUCAGCUCGAGCGCGCCGUCCGGAGAAGUAUCAUCGGUCCCUGCAUCUGGUGUAAUAGUAAUCUGUGAGCCACAAAGGACUCAGCAAUCUCGCACCCUCGCGAUCAAGACUAUUUAAGCUUAAUAGGUAGGAAAGGGGUAAUGUGAGUGGAGCUGCAGCAAGCGACUAGCAUAUAUGGUGGUUAACUUAUUCGCAAAGGAGAGCGAGAAGAGAAGGCAAAGCACGAGCGGAAAACUAAAUAGAACAGCCUACGCAAACAUAACUCCAACGCCGUGUCCACUUCCCGGACUCCGCCGAGAAGAGGCCAUCACGGCAACACACUCAGUUGAUUCAUUUUAAUUAUUUAAGGUUCAAGUUAUCUACAACCGGACAUUAACAAAUUCCCAUCUGCCCAUAACCGCGGGCACGGCUUUCGAAAGAUCAAUCCCUGCAGGGGGGUCCCAACUUAGCCCAUAACAAGCUCUCAUGGUCAACGAAGGAAUAGACCUCCACCCAGGACCCACCGAUCAGACUCGGUAUCCCGGUACAACAAGAUGAUUCGACAGGUCAAAACUAGUCCAGCAACACCGCCCGAAUGCGCCGAUAAAUCCCGAUAGGAGCUGCACAUAUCUCUUUCUCAGGGCACACUCAGAUGAGACUAGCUACGAGUAAAACCAACCCUCAAGUUUCCCCGAGGUGGCCCCGCAGGCAGCUCAUUUCGGACCAACACUCAGAGGAGCACUGGCCCGUGGGGGGCUAAAAUAAAGAUGACCCUCGGGCUCCGGAAACCCAAGGGAAAAGGAGGUAGGUGGCAAAUGGUAAAACCAAUGUUGGGCAUUGCUGGAAAAGCUUUAAUCAAGACGAACUAUCAAGGGGUUCCCAUUAUAGCCCAACCGCAUAAGGGACGCAACAAUCCGGGAACAUAACACCGAGAUGACGGAAACUAGGGCGGCAAGAGUGGAACAAAACACUAGGCGAGAGGCCGAGCCUUCCACCCUUUACCAAGUAUAUAGAUGAAUAAAGAUAACAUAUCAAUAUAAUGAUAUCCCAACAAGUAAAUAAAGGUUCCAACAAGGAACGACUCCAAUCUUCACCUGCAACUAGCAACGCUAUAAGAAGGGGCUUGAGCAAAGCGGUAACAUAGCCAAUCAAUGGUUUGCUAGGACAAAGGUGGGUUAGAGGCUCAAUCAUGGCAAUUGGGAGGCUGACAAGUAAGUGGUAGGCAUCGUAGCAUUGGCAAAGCAAAAGAGCGAGCAAACUAGCAUAACAAAGAUAGUAGUGAUUUCAAGGGUGUGAUCAUCUUGCCUGCACAGUUGUCAGAAUUGACUGGAUCCUCAAAAGCAAACUCAACGGGCUCCUCGUUAGCGAACUCGUCUCCCGGCUCUACCCAACAACACAAACAAGCAACAAGGAUACAAUCAACCACGUGCAAAGGCAACCAAUAAGAUGCAAAGAUGAUAUGCUAUGCGAGAUGCGAUGCGGGAUGCCAAAUGCAAGAUGUGACAGGAAAUGCAUGAACCUAGCCUCAACUUGGAAAACCAAGUGUGCCACUGGAUAGAGGGGAAGAAAUCCCCUGAAAACGAUAUAAAGAUCAUGGCAAUCGGAGCUACGGUUUAGAAAUGGCAAGCGAGUUACUAAACGAACCGAUCUGCGAUUUACAGCAAGUAGGCUCCUAAAUGCAACAAAAUGAACAUGCUAUAGCCACCCAACAUGAAAACAAAUUGCAUGGCAGUGAUGUACUCAAGAAGCUUAACAAAUCACCAGGACUUAGGCAUAGGCAAAUUCAUCAAUUAAGGGCUUCAAACAAGCAUGACAAAACUGAAUAAGCAAAACAGAUUUCAGACUUAGCAAAAUUAACGCUAGUCUGGAAUUUCAGACCACGAUGCUCUCUUCGGAGCAGCAAAACAACAUGAAGCAAAACCUGAACAUGGCACGUAAGAGCAUGGCAUGGAGCUACUCAACAAGCUUAACAAAACACCCAAAAUGACCUGGGGCCAAAAGGGUUCACAAAAUACUCCACCGAGCACACGAACAUCGAUGAAACACAAUCAGUUUUCAGACGGUGAAAACUGGGACAUGCUGAAAUAUAACUCACGGAGGCAUGUAAACGAGCUCGAUGCACUCACUACGGUGCAAGUCAUGGCAAGGCAAGCAUAUAUCCAAUAAGAAGGCACAAAAUUCUAGCUAGACAUGGCAAGAACAAUGGCAUAGCAUGCAUGGAUCACUAGCAAUAACUCCGGCAAAAUCGCAAAAGAGUUCACGAUCUGCCCAAAACAACAACUAUCCAAAAGUUGAGCUCGAUUGAGUCAACCUAGGGUGCCCCAACAUAACAAGUAAAGACAUGGAUGGAUUAAGCACAACAAGCAUAACAAAUCACUCUUACUGAUCAUCCUCAAAAGAGGCACGGAUCACUAGGAAACAAGCCGGACAUAUAGCAUCGUGAACUAAAACAUCCCAGACUUAGUGAUUUUCACUAAGUCCCUGAAAUCAGUAAACUCAGGUAGCCCUCUUCGCAAGCUUGCACAAGACAACACACACAUCCUAAAAAUGCAUGGGAGGCACCCCUGAAAGAAGACAACAUGCUUAACAAUUCAUCCCAAAGGGGCACAGGCAUAUCAUGCACGGAUUAAACAUGGCAAAAAUGACAAAAGUGCAUGAUGAACUAACGGAUCUGCAAUUUAACUCAUGAUGCCUCCUUCCAACAGCAUUUUGGGCAACAAGAUGACCUUAAAUGCAAAUGAUGCAAUGGAAUGAAAUGAUGUACUCGUCGAGACGAAGAUUUUGACAUAUCAUAUGCCCAAAUCGGAGCUACGGAUGCAAAGAUAUGGCAGGUCAAACAUCGCAUGAAAAAUCACGGAAUUAGGGUUUCGGGGGGAGAGGAGUCAACCGGAUCUAGAUCUGCCGACACUGUAGCAACACUGUAGCAGUCGACCCGGGCUCGCCGGAAAUGGCGACGGCGGCGGCCGGCGUGGAGGAGGGAGGAGGCCGGCGAGGUCCGGGCGAAGGACGNNNNNNNNNNNNNNNNNNNNNNNNNNNNNNNNNNNNNNNNNNNNNNNNNNNNNNNNNNNNNNNNNNNNNNNNNNNNNNNNNNNNNNNNNNNNNNNNNNNNNNNNNNNNNNNNNNNNNNNNNNNNNNNNNNNNNNNNNNNNNNNNNNNNNNNNNNNNNNNNNNNNNNNNNNNNNNNNNNNNNNNNNNNNNNNNNNNNNNNNNNNNNNNNNNNNNNNNNNNNNNNNNNNNNNNNNNNNNNNNNNNNNNNNNNNNNNNNNNNNNNNNNNNNNNNNNNNNNNNNNNNNNNNNNNNNNNNNNNNNNNGGCGGUGGCGCGCGGGGCCCGGUUGGGCGACGGGGAGGGCCGGCCGCGGGCUUCCGCGGGCCGGGGCGGCGGCGGGGGGAUUUUUAGGGUUUCGAGAGGGGGAGAGAGAUCCGAAUUUCGGGGGGUCUAUUUAUAGACAUAGAGGGAGCUAGGAGAGUCCAAAUGAGGUGCGGUUUUCGCCCACACGAUCGUGAUCGAACGAUCGAGACGAUGGAGCUGAGUUUGGUGGGUUUUGGGCCAAAAUGGAGGGGUGUUGGGCUGCACACACACACGAGGCCUUUUCGGUCCCUCGGUUAACCGUUGGAGUAUCAAACGAAGUCCAAAUGACCCGAAACUUGACAGGCGGUCUACCGGUAGUAAACCAAGGUCGCAUGGCAAGUCUCGGCCCAAUCCGGAAAUGUUUAAUCCCCACACACGAAAGAAAGCUAGAAAUGGCCACCGGAGUAGAACGAAGCGCCAGAAUGCAAAACGGACAACGGGGAAAAUGCUCGAAUGCAUGAGAUGAACAUGUAUGCAAAUGCAAUGCACGUGAUGACAUGAUAUGAGAUGCACGAAAACAAAAACAACACACAGAGACAAAGACCCGAACCCGAGAAUUAAAUAUAACUUAAUGCCGGAAACGGCAAGAGUUGGAGUACAAUUCGGGAAGGUUACAUAUGGGGCGUUACAACACUCCACCACUACGAAAAGAUCUCGUUCCGAGAUCUAGGACUGAAAGAACUCUGGGUACUCAGAACGGAGGUGAUCCUCGCAUUCCCAGGUAGCUUCACGGUCGGAAUGGUGUGACCACUUAACUUUGAGAAACUUGAUUGACUUGUUGCGAGUUUUGCGUUCAGUCUCUUCAAGGAUUGCAACUGGGUGCUCACGGUAGGAGAGAUCUUCUUGGAGCUCAAUGUCCUCGAAGUUGACGGUGCGCUCAGGCGUCUUGAAGCACUUUCGGAGUUGCGAGACGUGGAACACAUCAUGAACAUUGGCAAAGGUUGCAGGAAGCUCGAGUUGAUAGGCGAGGUCGCCUCUCUUGCUGACAAUCUUGAAAGGCCCGACGUAUCUGGGGGCAAGCUUCCCUUUGAUACCGAAGCGACGAGUCCCUUUCAUAGGAGAGAUGCGGAGGUAGACAUGAUCUCCGAUCUCGAAGGCCAAAUCACGGUGCUUGCUGUCAUAGUAGCUCUUCUGACGAGAUUGGGCUGCUUUGAGGUUAUCACGAAUGACCUUGCACAUUUCUUCUGCCUCUGUGAUCAGGUCAUUACCCAGCAGCUGACGUUCACCGGUUUCAGACCAGUUGAGAGGUGUACGGCACUUCCUACCAUACAGAAUUUCAAAUGGGGCCUUGCCAGAACUUGCUUGGAAACUGUUGUUGUACGAGAAUUCGGCAUAAGGAAGACAAUCCUCCCACUUCAUGCCAAAGGAGAUAACACAAGCCCUGAGCAUAUCUUCAAGAAUCUGGUUGACACGCUCGACUUGACCGCUUGUUUGAGGAUGGAAAGCAGUGCUGAAGCGAAUGUUGGUGCCCAUGGCCUUCUGAAAAGAAUCCCAGAACUUGGAGGUAAAGAUGCUGCCACGGUCUAAAGAUAUCACUUGAGGAAUACCGUGCAGAGAGACAAUUCGAGAGGUAUAGAGCUCCGCCAGUUGAGCUGCAGUGAUUGACUCUUUGAUAGGCAGGAAAUGAGCCACUUUGGUGAGCUUGUCGAUGACAACGAAUAUAGCAUCAUUGCCACGCUUGGACUUUGGAAACCCAGUCACGAAGUCCAUUUCAAUGUGGUCAAACUUCCAUUCUGGAAUGGCGAGAGGUUGGAGGAGACCUGCUGGCCUUUGGUGUUCUGCUUUCACUCUUCUGCAGACAUCACAUUCAUUCACGAAUUGAGCGAUCUUGCGCUUCAUUUGAGUCCACCAAUAAGUUUGCUUCAGGUCUUGAUACAUCUUCGUGCUCCCAGGGUGGAUGGAGAGGAGAGAGUUGUGAGCCUCAUUCAUGAUCACUUUACGAAGUUCACCUUUGGGCACAACAAUUCGAUCCUCGAAGAAGAGAGUGUCCUUGUCAUCAAGUCGGUAGCACUUGUACUUGGACUGACUCUUUGCAAUACCAAUCUUCACCUUUUUCACCAUAGCAUCAAGAAGCUGGGCUUGGCGAAUCUGGUCUUCCAAGGUAGGAGAAACUUGAAGGUUGGCGAGGAAACCUUGAGGAACAAUUUGCAGAUUAAGUUUGCGGAAAGCUUCACAAAGCUCGGGUUGAUAAGGCUUGAGAAUCAGACUGUUGCAAUAUGCUUUUCUGCUCAAAGCGUCAGCAAUCACAUUAGCCUUGCCUGGAGUAUACUCGAUACUCGGAUUGUACUCUUGAAUCAUUUCGACCCAUCGAGUCUGCCUGAGGUUGAGAUUAGGCUGAGUGAAAAUGUACUUGAGACUCUUGUGAUCAGUGAAGAUGUCCACUUUCCUUCCCAAGAGAAGAUGUCUCCAAGUCAACAAUGCGUGCACAACUGCCGCCAACUCGAGAUCAUGAGUGGGGUAGUUCUUCUCGUUAGGCUUCAACUGGCGAGAGGUAUAAGCAACAACUUUCUUCUCUUGCAUCAGUACUGCACCGAGACCUUGGAGAGAGGCAUCACAAAAGACCUCGUACGGCUUGGUUUCAUCAGGCGGAGUUAGAACUGGAGCAGUGAUCAAUUUCUCUUUCAAAGCGUUGAAAGCAACAUCACACUCCGGAGACCAAACGUACUUGACGUGCUUCUGAAGAAGAUUUGAGAGAGGCUUCGCGAUCUUGGAAAAGUUUUCAACGAAUCUUCGGCAAUAACUUGCAAGACCGAGGAAGCUACGGAGUUGCUUCACAUUCUGUGGAGGUUCCCAAUUAACGAUUGCGGACACCUUCUCAGGAUCCAUGGAAAUGCCCUUGGCAGAGAUAAUAAGGCCAAGAUAAAGAACCUCAUUGAGCCAAAACUCACACUUGGAGAACUUGGCGUAGAAUUGAUGUUCCCUUAGCUUGUCAAGAACCAAACGCAAGUGUUUGGCAUGAUCUUCCUUGUUCUUGGAGAAAACCAGGAUAUCGUCGAGAUAGACCAAAACAAAGUCGUUGGUGUAGGGGUUGAAGAUGAAUUUCAUCAUGUGAGAGAACGUCGGAGGAGCAUUGGCGAGGCCAAAAGACAUAACAGUGUAUUCAUAUGACCCAUAGCUUGUUCUGAACGCCGUCUUUGGAAUAUCUUGUUCACGAAUGCGAAUUUGAUGAUAACCCAUACGGAGAUCAAGCUUGGAGAAUACUUGGGCACCCUUGAGUUGUUCGAACAGCUCAUUAAUGUUGGGAAGUGGGUAUUUGUUCUUGAUGGUCUUCUUGUUCAAUGGACGAUAAUCAACACAAAGUCGGUCCGUUCCAUCCUUCUUCUUCACAAAAGAACACCACAACCCCACGGAGAAGUACUAGGCCGAAUGAGACCCAUUCUUUCUUGCACAUCGAGUUGUUUCUUCAACUCCUUCAACUCUUCGGGGCCGAGCUUGUAAGGCCGUUUGCACACAGGUUCCGUACCGGGCUCAAGUUCAAUAACAAAUUCAACCAGCCGGUUUGGAGGCAUGCCUGGGAGUUCUUCAGGGAAGACAUCUUGAUACUCACAAACAACCGGAAUCUGCGAAAUAGCAUCCAAUUCACCCUUUUCAUUGAGAGAGAACAACCGGAUGGUAUUAUCCCGAGCAGCAAAAACAAUUACUUCCUCAGACGAAUGAGUCAGUUGAAUCUGCUUGGCUGCGCAAUCGAGGUGAGCUUUAUGUUUAGAGAGCCAGUCCAUCCCAAGAAUAAGAUCGAUAUCAGAAUUGCCAAGAACCAUUGGAGAAGCGAGGAACUUGAAAUCACCCAUCAUGAUAGAAAUAUCCGGAAUCAUCAUAGUGGAACUUAGACGCUUCGCUGGAGAGACGACUUGCAUAGCUCUAGGUAAUGCCUUAGUGCUAAAAUUGUUCUCCGAUGCAAAUGGGAAUGACAUGAAGGAAUGCGAUGCACCAGAGUCAAAAAGAACUUUUGUAGGAACAUCGUUAACAGGAAGGUUACCCAUGAUCACAUCUGACGAAUCCUCUGCCUGAGCUGCAUUCACCAUAUUGACCUUGGCGUGCUUGGGAUUAUGCUUGACCACAGCUGUACUUGCCGAUCUGACAGGAGGAGGAGGAAGAAGACGCCUCUGGUUGAAACACUUGUUGGCAUAGUGACCCUUCUGUUGGCACUUGUUGCACGUGACCUCUGAGAGCGGACGGUGGUACGGAGCACUCGAUCUUGAAGCUUGAGACGAAGUCUUGUUCUGAAAGCCUGGGUUGGGUGGGUGGGACGAACCACUGCCACCUUUGCUCUUCUGCUGAUACGGCUGACGGAACGGAGGAGGAGGAAGCCAAUACUUCUGCUGGUUGGCCACUUGAGUAGAGGAAGAAGACGUAGUGUCUCUGACUCGCUUACUGGAAGCAUCACACCUUAGCUGAGCAGCCUCUUGCUUCAGUGCCAUGUUGUAGAACUCAUCGUAUCUCAGUGGCUCGAAGAGGACAAGAGCGAGCUGAAUUUCUUCACGAAGACCACCCCUGAACUGAUAGAUCAUGCUCUUCUCAUCAGGAACAUCCUGCUUGGCAAAACGGGCGAGCUUCUGGAACAACUUGUUGUAGUCAUAGACAGACAAAGAGCCUUGCUUCAGAUUGCGGAAUUCUUCACGUUUGCUUUCAGUCACACUUUGAGGAAUGUGAUGAGCUCGGAAAUCACGACGGAAAUCAUCCCAAUUGAUCAAACGUCCACCUCUGGAAUCCCGGUACUGCUGAAACCACUCUGCGGCCUGAUCCUUGAGCUGGAAAGACGCGAACUUGACAAAAUCUUCAGGUCUGACGUUGCUACAUUCAAAAUGCUUGCCCAGAUCGACUAACCAAUCAUCAGCAUCGGUAGCCUCAACGCAGUUGCUGAACGUCUUUGGACCAUUUGCGAGGAACUGAUUCAGAGUUGCAAAUUGGUUCUGGUUGUUGCCUUGAUUUCCUUGACUGCUUUGAUUCCGCUCUUGGAUGAUUUGCAUGAUCAGCUGAGUAUUUGCAUUAGUAGCAGCCAUCACAGCCUGCCAUGCUUCCGAAGGAGGCGGAGGUGGCGGAGGAUCUUGAUUCUGGUUCUGACUGGUGCUCUUAGCGGGAGCCAUCCUGAAGAGGUUGACCACCAUUAGCACACAAAUAGAGAAAUAUUGAAGGUGAAACCAACGGAAUGAAAAUUGCAACAUAAAGUCUUCACAUCCGAACAAAAUGAACGAAUGCACUUCUCUUGAAGUGGUCACAUCUUCCUAAAUUGCGAAGCCACGAAGAAUCAGGUAGAAGAGGUACAUCAACGAGGGAUGGAAUCAACAUAUGACGUCGAAGAAGAACGAAUACCACAACUCGAAAUAAAACCAAGGGUUGGCUUGCGGAAUAAGCCGGAACAAACACAUGAUAGAAAUUUCGUCCGAAGUGUUCGUGGUAGGACCUACACGGGCUCGACCGUACAUCACCAUCAUGUACAAGGCAGUGCACAUGACAUACGAAGCGUCCCCGAGUCAGCAUAGCCAAGGACUCUUUAAGACACAACGAGACCACUGUAAAAUCGACCGUGAAUAGGCGAACCACUAGACGUCGAACCCCAAUUUCAUAUCACACAUCUGUUGGAAAGAUAUCCUAAGGCUACUUGAAUUCCCACCUAUGAAAUUCCCGAAACUUUCCGGUUAUGCAAUCAGGUGUUGGGGAUACAGGGGAAGCAUAAUAUCUCACCCAAGCUAGCAAAUCCUACAUCCAGCUGCAUCCAUCCUUCAACACAUAACCAAGAAACCUUCGGAAACCAUCUAUCUCAACCUUCGAAAAGCAUCCGUUAUACAAGUUAUGGCGAUACUCCCGAACUCCCGCCCCAGUACUGGGUGGCGUCGAGGUUAUCUCACCAACGAACUGCAUAAAGGAGAUUUUCGAUGUCGCGCACAUAUCUCAAGUAUACCAGAAUUGCAACGAUAGAAUUAUGAUGACAACACCUCAGAGCUCAGCUCCCCGGGGCACUUCCACUAAACCCCUGACAGGAGGCACCAAGACAGUAUUCUCAUCAUAAGCCAUCGGAACAAAACUAAGAUACUCGCGUGAUCCUAAAAAAAAAUAGUGAAAUUUGAGAAGAGAAGAGUCAAAACUCUACGUCAGGAUGCCUUACCAGAGCGAUGAGGAGACUGGGAAGUAAAAAGAAUUCCUAAGCUCUCCGAUAUAUAAUUCCUAAGGACUCAAAACAUUUUUCUAGACACAACUCGGCUGCUAAAAACGAUCAAGCAAUGGGGCUCCUAAGGUCGGGGAAGGCUCUGAUUACCAACUUGUAACUGUAAGUGCAUCUAGUGCCACCCCUAGUUGGUUUUGGAGUAUUGACGACAAACCUAGUUGAGGGACUAAUGUGUUUGUGAGAAUUGCAGGAUACACAGGUAGAAGUCCCUCAUUGAUUCGGUUUAGCUACCAGAGAUGACCCCCAAAAAUUGUACGAAGACAUUGAAGACAAUGGUGGUUCAUGAAGACAUUCGUGUCGAAGACAAUGACAUAUGAAGACUCCCCAUGAAGCUUUUGGAACUCGAAGACUUAGAUCCUUCGUAGCUUUACUUUAUUCAUGUUGUGUCAUAGGAACCACCGUACUGUUAAGUGGGGUCCAAGAAAACCAGUCAGGAUGACUGAAGUGAUGCCUAAUUCAAAUCCUAUGUCUUCGAGUGAAAACAAUAAGAGAAAAUCUUGUCCAGAGUCAGACAAGUCAGCUUUACUUGCAGCCCAAGUAAAGUUGCCGUGAGAGUUCAAAAUCCGACCGUUAGUACACGUGUCAGUUCCUUAGUGACCCAGGGUCAUUUCAGACAAAUCAGGUCAGGGUUGCCAAGUGGCUAUAAAUAGUCCACCCCCACAACCAUAAACGGUUGGUUGCUCAGAUUUCAGUGCACGGCUUUUGUCGUUUGAGAGCAACCCACCUCGAAGCCUUUGAGAGAAAAUCCUUAGUGAGGAGAAAAGCCCUAACCACCCAGAGCCAGAGUAAUUGGGCAUCACUUAAGUCUUCUUGUCUGAGUGAUCUGAAGACUUAUUACACUUGAGGACUGUGCAUCCUCCAGAUGGUUAGGCGUCGCGUUCUGAGCAUCCAAGAGGAAUUGUGGAUUGCCGGUGAACGAAGUCUGUGAAGGUUUGGGAGUCUACCUUGAAGACUUACCAGAGUGAUUGGGCGGGGUCUGAGUGACCUUAGCUCAAGGAGAAAACGGUGAGGACUGGGUGUCCUGAGCUGCGUGUUCAGGACUGGGUGUCCGGGACUGUGUGUCCUUUGGUUUAAAUACCUAGCCGCUCCAACCAGACGUACAGUUGUCACAGCAACUGGAACUGGUCCAACACAUCAUUGUCUUCAACGUGUCACUGGUUUCAUCUUCACCUCCCUUUACUUACCAGUACACAUUGUGAAGCUAUUGCAUGCCUGCUUAAUCUUCUGUCUUCACAACCUGACUGUAUGAUCUGUUUGGCUUCAUAACUUCUUCCAACCUGAUCCUCAUUACACUGAAGCUAUUUGUCUCUGUGCUUUCACUGUACUGUAUAUUUGACUAUGUCUUGCGUUGUGUAAUCUACCUUCCGCUGCAUAGUGAUAGGCUUCAAGUCUGUUUGUCUUCAUAACUUCCACGUUUUGAAGACUUUCUUAAAAAUCGCCUAUUCACCCCCCCUCUAGUCGAUAUAACGCACUUUCAAUUGGUAUCAGAGCAAGGUGCUCCCUUGUUCUGUGUGAUUCGGUUUAACCACCUGGAGUUUUAGCUAUGUCGACUGCAGGGAUAAUUAAAGUCUCCGCUGCGUGCCCCGUCUUCGAUGGAACUGAAUAUCCCUAUUGGAAGAAUAAGAUGCGCAUGCAUCUUGAAGCCAUUGACGUCGACCUAUGGUAUGUCGUCGAAAACGGCGUUCCCAAGGCUGGAGAAGGUGUCACUGCUGCUGAUGUCAAGAAGUUCACUCAACUGGACUCCACUGCCAAGAAUAUUAUCUGUGGUCAUCUGACCAAGGGACAGUACGGCCGUGUGAGUGCCUUGAAGACAUCCAAGCUGGUCUGGGACUGGCUCUCCAAGGUCAAUGAAGGCAUCUCAACCCAGAGAGAUCAGAGAAUCAGUGUUCUUCGCAAUCUCUUCAACCGCUUCAAGCGAAAUGACAAUGAGAAUGUCCAGCACACAUUUGACCGGCUCACUGACAUCACAAAUGAGCUUCAAGCCCUCGGCGCCACUGAGAUCACCGAACAUGAAAUCGUCAAGACGCUGCUAAGAUCACUUGACAGUUCAUUUGACAUUCUAGCCCUGAUGAUUCAAGAACGUCCAGACUUCAAGACACUCGAUCCGUCUGACAUACUUGAGAGGCUCAACACACAUGAGUUUCAGCUUUCUGAGAAAAGAGAUAUCUACGGUCCAAACUAUGGGCGAACUCGUGCCUUGAAGGCAAAAGCUGUGUCAUCAUCUGAAGAGGAAUCUGACAGCAGUUCUGAUGAUCCUGAAGACAUUGGAAGGGAACUUGCAAUGCUAGUGAAGAAGUUCCAGAAAUUCACUAAGAAGAAAGGCUUCAGAAAGUCUUCACGAUCAAGCUCAAGGAAUGAUGAAGCUUCUGCGCAUGACUACAAGAGGAAAACUUGUCAUAAAUGCAAGAAAACUGGACACUUCAUCUCUGAAUGCCCACAGUGGGACAAUGAGAACAGAAAGAAGAAGAAGAGCAAGGAAUAUGACUCUGACGAUAAGAAGACGAAGAAAUACUCAAAGUCUUUGUCAAAGUCUUCGUCCAAGUCUUCCUCAAAGUCUUCAUCACACAAGAAGAGUUCAUCUGGCAAGGCUCGUGCGUUUGUUGGCAAGGAAAUGGAUUCAGAGGAGGAGUCCGCUUCUGAGGAGGCAGAGGUGGAGUCUGAGGAGGAGUCUGAUUCAGGCAUUGCAAGUUUGGCUACAGCCUAUGUCGCCAAGUCCAUCUUCAACACUGAAGACAAUGACUCCAUCACCAUCACCAAUGCAAAUGACAAGGACGACUCUACUCCCACCUACUGCUUCAUGGCACGUGGUGCCAAGGUAAACACACGCACUACUCACUAUUGAACAUCUAGUGACGAUGACUCUGAUUGUGAUUCAAAACCCAGUUACAAAACACUUGCUAAAAUUGCAACUGAACAACAAAAGGCCAUGGAACAUAUUCAAAAACUGUUAGACAGAAGCGAUGAUCUGUUGGGUGCUGAAAUGACUCGUUCUGAAUCCUUAAUUGAAGACAUAAAAAAUCUUCAUGUUAAGUAUCAAGAACUCGAAGAUCGUCUUGAGACUCUCUCAACUACUCAUGAAAAGCUUUCCUAUGAUUAUCUUCAGAAGAAGCAAGAUCUUGAGAAGUUGAGAGCGGAUCAUGAAGAUCUUCAAAAGGAAAACGAGUCACUUCGAGCCGAAAAGAUCAGUUCUGCUCAGGAAGGAUUUGAACCACCAUGCCUUAAAUGCAUUGAGCGUGAUAAUGCUAUUUCUGUUGCUGAAUGUUCCACUGCUACUGCUGUUGCAAUAUCUUCAACUGUUGAAGUGGUAACUAACCCCUCUGCUGAGGAUACCACUGCUAUUGCUGAUGAAAAUGCUAGGUUGAAGACAUUGCUUGAAACAGGGAUGUACAAAAGUCUUAAAGGACAUCAGACACUAUGUGAUGUCCUCAAGAAGCAGAUUCUGAACCGAAACCCUAGCAAAGAGGGUGUUGGGUUCGUGAGGAAAAUUAAUGCAGAUGGCUCUUACUGGAAACCUGAGCAGUACCCCAAAACCACAUGGGUUGCUGCAAAGGAAUCCUCAUCAGAUCCAUCCAAUCUAUCUGGCUUCACUUGUGCUAAUCCAAUUAUCAUCGAUGAAUCCUUUGAUGCAAACUAUAAAUUGUUUAGGAAUCAGAAUGGUGAAGUGUUUGCCAGGUACAUUGGUACUAACUGCAGGAAUGGACCGCCUAUGAAGAAGAUCUGGGUUCCAAAAACGUGUCUUGAGAAUCUUCCUGUGAAUGUCCUCAUGACAUCUCACGUGAAGAAGACAAACCUCAGACCAAAGGCUUCGUAUGGUCCAAAGGGUUCAUACAGGCAGAGGGCUCAUCUGAGUUGCACUAACACAAAUGCUUUGCAGGGAAACCAUGCUCGGGCUUAUGUGAGCGGUUCUUCAAACCGUCAUUCUCAUAUGACCAAAAAUUAUUCUGCCUAUUCUUAUGAGUAUUAUUGCCCACCUGCUAGACUGUUUGCUAGGGCUCCAAAGCCAAAAUUCUCAGAUGCUGCACUUAGACUUAUUGCUUCUAAGCCACCCUUGAAGAUGUGGGUGGUUAAGAAAGCUUAACUCUCUUUUGCAGGGAAAGGUCUCCAGCUCAAAACCAAAAUCUUCUGAUGCUAUUGCUGGGGACCUUAAAAAACUCGUGGGGCGCACGAUCAAAUGCCCGAAUGGCAUCACUAUGUAUCUCAUAUCUGAAUCACAUGCUACUCUCCCUGCUUGUCCUAACCUGGAUCUCAGUUUUCAUAAUCCACUGGUUCGUCAAAUGUUUUUGCUUCACAACACUCUUGGUGAAGCCUAUCCCCCUAACUGCACUGUAGGGUACGAUACCAGUAACUUCGGAGUCUUCAGUAUGGAUUAUUGACAGCGGGUGUACAAAUCACAUGACUGGCAAGAGAAGUCUCUUUAUGGACUCAACCUUACAUCCAUCUGACAAGAGCCACAUCACAUUCGCUGACACUGGUAAAAGUAAAGUACUGGGUCUAGGUAGAGUUGCAAUCUCAAAGGAUCAACACAUGGAUAAAGUCAUGUUUGUUGAAUCCCUUGGCUUCAACUUAAUGUCUGUCUCAAUGCUUUGCGAUUUAAACAUGAUUGUAAUCUUUGGAAAAUAUCGUUGUCUGGUACUAAUGGAAUCUGACAAGUCUCUAGUGUUUGAAGGGUAUCGAAAAGAUGAUUUGUACGUGGUAGAUUUCUCAGCAGGGCCACAGCUUGCAGUUUGUCUUCUCGCAAAGGCUUCAGAAUGCUGGCUUUGGCAUCGAAGACUUGGGCAUGCUGGCAUGAGGAACCUCCACACCCUUGCUAAGAAGAAGCAUGUCAUAGGCAUCGAGGGCGUCAAGUUCAAGAAAGAUCACUUGUGCGGUGCCUGUGAAGCCGGGAAGAUGACAAGGGCAAAACAUCCUUCGAAGACAAUCAUGACCACUACUCAACCCUUCGAACUGCUUCACAUGGAUCUCUUCGGUCCUACCCACUACUCGACUUUCUCCACUACUGCUUGCCUCUAUGGAUUCGUCAUUGUUGAUGAUUACUCAAGAUAUACUUGGGUGCACAUAAUUCUUUACAAGACUGAAGUGCAGGAUGUCUUCAGACGCUUCGCAAAUCGGGCAAUGAACAAUUAUGGCGCCAAGAUAAAGCACAUCAGAAGUGACAAUGGCACAGAAUUCAAGAACACCGGCCUUGACACAUAUCUUGAUACAUUGGGCAUCACUCAUGAAUUCUCAGCUCCAUACACGCCACAACAGAAUGGCAUCGUCGAACGCAAGAACAGAACACUCAUUGAGAUGGCCAGAACAAUGUUAGAUGAGUACAAGACACCAAGAAAAUUCUGGACUGAAGCCAUUGACACGGCAUGCCAUACUAUCAACCGUGUAUAUCUUCACAAGCUGCUAAACAAGACAUCUUAUGAACUUCUGUCUGGCAAGAAGCCAAAUGUGAGUUACUUCAGAGUAUUUGGAUCGAGAUGCUGGAUCAAGGACCCUCACCACACCGCAAAAUUUGCUCCAAAAGCACAUGAGGGCUUCAUGCUUGGAUAUGGAAAGGAUUCGCACUCCUACAGAGUCUUCAAUCUCUUUCACUACAAAGUGGUUGAAACAGUGGAUGUGCGGUUUGAUGAGACCAAUGGGUGACAAAGAGAGCAACUACCAGAUGUACUAGAUGAAGUUCCAGCCAGUGAAUCAAUCAAGCUAAUGGGAACUGGAGAAAUUAUACCUUCUGAAGCUCGUCCUGAAGAAGAACUUAUCAUCUCAGCACCUGAUCCACAUGAAGACAAUGCUCAGCCUGAAGACAUUCCUCCCCAUGACAACGUAGAUCAGCAAGAGCAAAGUCUUCGACCCCUACAUCCUCGUGUUGCCAAUGAAGUGCAAAUUGACAGAAUAAUUGAUAGCAUCAAUGCACCUGGUCCACUGACUCGUUCAAAGGCAACUCAACUGGCAAACUUUUGCGGACACUUCGCAUUUGUUUCAAUCACAGAACCCAAGAAAACUGAUGAAGCCUUUAUGGAACCUGAAUGGAUUCAAGCUAUGCAAGAAGAGCUUCAACAAUUUGAGCUGAACAAUGUAUGGGAGUUAGUUAAGCGUCCUUAUCCACGGAAGCAUAACAUAAUAGGCACCAAAUGGAUAUACCGCAACAAGCAAGAUGAGCAUGGCCAAGUCGUCAGAAACAAGGCUCGUCUCGUUGCUCAAGGAUAUACUCAAGUGGAAGGCAUCGACUUCGACGAAACAUUUGCUCCUGUGGCCAGACUUGAAGCCAUCCGUAUACUGCUGGCCUAUGCAAAUCAUCACAACAUAAUCCUGUAUCAAAUGGAUGUAAAAAGUGCCUUCCUCAAUGGCAAAAUUGAAGAAGAAGUGUAUGUUGCGCAACCACCUGGGUUUGAAGAUCCAAAACAUCCUGACAUGGUGUACAAGCUCAAAAAGGCACUAUAUGGCCUCAAACAAGCCCCUCGGGCCUGGUAUGAUACACUCAAAUACUUCCUGAAGAGCAAAGGCUUCAUACCUGGUUCCCUGGAUCCCACUCUCUUCACAAAGACAUAUGAUGGUGAACUGUUUGUGUGCCAAAUAUACGUGGAUGACAUUAUCUUCGGCUGCACCAAUCAGAAGUACAGUGAGGAGCUCGGAUAUAUGAUGCAAGAGCAAUAUCAGAUGUCUAUGAUGGGGGAGCUGAAAUUCUUCCUCGGUCUUCAGAUAAGGCAACAACGCAAUGGCAUCUUCAUAUCUCAAGAGAAAUACCUCAAAGACUGCCUGAAGAAGUUCGGUAUGCAAGAUUGCAAAGGCUUCACAACACCAAUGCCAGCCAAACAUCAUCUGGGUCCUGACGACAAUGGUAAAGAGUUCGAUCAAAAGGUAUACCGCUCCAUGAUUGGUUCUUUGCUUUAUUUAUGUGCAUCUAGGCCAGAUAUUAUGCUCAAUGUUUGCAUGUGUGCUCGGUUUCAAGCGGCACCAAAGGAGUCGCAUCACUUAGCAGUGAAGCGAAUUCUUCGAUAUUUGGCUCACACACCAACUCUAGGGUUAUGGUAUCCAAAGGGCUCAGAGUUUGAUCUGGUUGGAUUUUCGGACGCUGAUUACGCUGGUGACAAGGUUGAUCGGAAGUCCACAUCAGGCACAUGUCAUUUCCUGGGCCGAUCUCUUGUCUGUUGGUCUUCAAAGAAGCAGAACUGUGUAUCUCUCUCCACUGCUGAAUCUGAAUACAUUGCUGCUGGAUCCUGCUGCGCUCAGCUUCUAUGGAUGAAGCAAACCCUCAAGGAUUAUGGCAUUCAUCUGAAGCAAGUGCCACUUUACUGCGACAACGAAAGCGCCAUCAAGAUCGCCAACAACCCAGUUCAGCACUCGAAGACAAAGCACAUUGAAAUUCGUCAUCAUUUUCUCAGAGAUCAUGUUACAAAGGAAGACAUUGAUAUCAUACACGUCAACACUGAAGAGCAAUUGGCAGAUAUCUUCACCAAGCCCUUGGAUGAGAAGAGAUUUUGCAAGUUACGGUGUGAGCUAAAUAUCUUGGAAUCCUCAAAUGUCCUGUGAUCAGCCACACAUCCUAACACUUAUGCAUGAUGAUGACUUAGAUGUGCAACACACAAAGUAACGUAUAUCUUCAAUCAAUGAAGACAUACAUUCUAAGUGUGAAUACAUUAACGUGGAAUUUGACCUCGGAGCGCCACGAUAAUUGUGCGCCGUGUCUGAGUCCAAUACUUCCUAUACGGUGGGUAGCGCCACCACCAAAUUUUUUUUGCUUGAAGUGUUUUACUCAUGGCGUUACAUUUGCUAUGUCUUCACAUUUGGUUUGGCUUCAAACUCAACAUGUCUUCAUGAUUAUCUUCACUAUGUUGAUUAUAUAUAUGCACUGGUGUUCUGUCCUCUACAGCAUUCACUUAUAGCUAUGUCGUCUUGUCUGAAUCUUUUGAACUAAGUGAAUGUGAUCGGACCCUAACCUCUCCAUGCUUCCUACCUCAAACUCUAUCUCUCCAAGUCAUAUGCACUCUAUUGAAACUGUCGAAUGUCUUCACUGCAUCCUUGUCAGAAGAAGACACAGAGACAAACUUUAAAACAGCUUUCAAUGUUUUUCCAUCAACUAGAAUUCCGGAGAAGUAGGAACGACUCCCGACAAACCAGGCGUGCGUGGGGUGAAACUGCCCCCACAAUUCCGCAUGCUGGCCACGUACUGAUCAGAUGCGAAUCGCCAGGGGCACCUGAGUAAUAGCGCAGUGCCGCCCAUAUCCCUAUAAGUACACGUUUCACUGCGGUCAUUAUCUCUUCUUCCUCCCUCGCACAAGCCCUAGCACCACCGCUAACUCUCGACGACGCCGGCGACGAAGUGCUUCACUGCCGCGACUUCUCCGACGCCGUUCUCACGCCGACCGCGGACACCAGUCUUUCCGCCGUCGUCCUAAGUGUCUUCCGUCGCCAAGUUAGGGCACGGAGGAUCGAACUGCUCGGCCUCACCUCUCCUCUCGUCUAGCAGUUCUACGUCUGGUAAAUAACAAGCUUUUUAUAGCCUCUUUUGAUCCUAUUGAUCCAUCACUUUCUGCCAAAAGAGGUUUCUAUUCCUUCAAGUUUCAUUCCUCUUGUCUGAAUCUCAUAACUUGCCUAGCAUAUUCACUUGUUCUUCAUGAAGUAGUUAGAUUCCUCACUUGUACUGAUCCAUGGGUUCGUACAAAUCUGGAACCAACUUCUUUUCUAUAAAGUGAAUGUCUUCGCAUGAUGAGGUCAAUGUCUUCUACACUGAUUUAUCUUCAAAAUCUUCUGAGAAUGCAUAUGACCUCUUCCCCUUCCCUCGCACCUUAAUGCUGUCACAGGUACAUGUUCGUGGGAGAAUCUUUUGGUUCUCAUAGUCUGCAUUCAUUUGCAGAAUUCCUACAGCGUCACAUCAAUUCACCCGAAGCAAGUUCCUGUUGGUCAAGCAAAAGGAAGCCUUUGAAGCCUUUGAAACCUUUGAAACUUUUGAAGCCUUCCAAGUUAAGCUUCAUGGCAUCCGUGAAACCAUCAAGGAAGGGAGGCAGACAGAGACGGGGUGACACAUCAAAGGAUCUGCCUGAAGAUUUGGCAGAAACGUAUCAAACAGAUCCUGAAGAAACCUAUGCUCAGCGCAAGACACGAAUCCAAUGGAUUCGCAGGUAUUGGGCAGAGCAGUGGUUCCUAUACCGCUUCGUCACCAAAGAAUAUGCAGAGAAGUGCGCCAUCAAGCGUCCAUGGGGAGAUGCCUUGUACAAGAACCUCGUACCCCGAACCAGAGACGAAGCCAUUGCUCAAGGUUUCUUUCCAUGCAUGGUCAGGGGACAACAGCCAGCUGAUGCACAUCCAUCGUCCCUUCUCUGGUGUCGCGAUGACACUCUGUUCAAGCGCAACUUCCAAUUUGCCCAGAACUCUGCGAAGCAAAACAAGAAGGAGUUUGGAUUGGACUUCAACCCUGGUCCCUCCAGACCAAGGGCAGAUGGCACAUGCGACGCUAAUCCCAAUGUCAUCGGGCCAUUUGCCAAUCUCGACGGCCUCAUCACUCACAUUAUAGUCCAAGGGACUGCCGUGAACGACCCUCCAGCAG
This 51181-nucleotide long non-coding RNA is filed under the name Triticum aestivum (bread wheat). RNAcentral's name for it is "long non-coding RNA (TAES_LNC010999)". The stretch from base 27487 to 27619 matches the Rfam family "MIR1120/MIR1122 microRNA precursor family". Lineage: Eukaryota; Viridiplantae; Streptophyta; Magnoliopsida; Poales; Poaceae. The record is from RNAcentral.